UUGGCCUUUGGAAAUAAUUGUUCCAACAUGAGAACCGUAAAGCCCAGCUUGUUUCUGCACAACGUUGCUGGUUCUGAUGUUAGUGCUUUUGGAGUAAAUCGUGAAGAAAUCUGUGAAGCUGAGAGAGCUUCGCUGAGCUGAUGCUGUGUUCAGGACUGCCCAAGCCAUUUCCUUCUGCGCUGGCACGAGGAAAGCAAUACUGAUACAGAAUUGUCUUAUCGGUUACCUCAUGUAGGGGUGUGGCUGAAUGUGAAUAUUUAAAAGAAGCAUUUAAUUGUGUCUCUCCUCGGGUACACCAAAAAAGUUAGGAAUUUUUCUCUGUUUUUCACUAAAUAGUGAAGACAGGGAAAUGGGAAGUGCAGUCUGCGUGGUGGUGUGGCAGAUUAAGCAGUCCUGAUCUGCAAAGUGAUCAAGUUCUUGCGUUCAGGAGCCUCCCCAUGAAAGAGGCAAGUUAGAGGUGCUUUUGUGUCUUUCCUCACUGGUUUUUUUCCCCCAUCCCUGCGUGCUCUCAAUCAGAUGCCAACGUUCCCUAAAUACACGCUGCUCCGCGGAGGGAUGCCGGCCUCUCCGUGUGCUGCGCGGGGCCGCGGGGCUCUCAUCCCGCCGCUCCGAGCGCUCUCUCGCUCCGUCCCUUUCUCCUUUCCAUUUUCCAAACCCCUCCUUGGGGCCGGCAGAGCCCUUGCCCGUGUGCCCAUGCCCGGAGGUGGGUGGCAGCGCUCUGGGGGUAGGUGGCCGUGCCCCGGGGGUUGGUGGCCGUGCCCCGGGGGUGGGUGGCCGUGCCCCGGGGGUGGGUGGCCGUGCCCCGGAGGUUGGUGGCCGUGCCCCGGAGGUUGGUGGCCGUGCCCGGAGGCGGGUGGCAGUGCCCCGGGGAUGGGUGGCAGUGCCCCGGGGGUGGGUGGCCGUGCCCCGGAGGUUAGUGGCCGUGCCCGGAGGCGGGUGGCAGUGCCCCGGGGGUGGGUGGCCGUGCCCCGUCGUUCGCCGCUGCCUGGCGGGGCAGAGGGGCCCGGCCCCGAGCAGAUGGUGCCGCAGCUGCCACCCCGCCCGAGGUGACGGGCACUGCCGGCUGACCCGGUCGGUCCCUCCGCAGCUGCCGUGUCACCCCCGCGGCCGCACCGACCGUCCUGUCCGGGCAGAAGAGGGUCGGGAUGAAGCGUCUCAGCUGCCCUCGGCAGAAGGUUCCCGGGCCGGGCUUCCUGCCUGGCUGUUUGCUUCUCCCCCUCCUCCUCCUGCCGCCCCCUGCCCGCGGGUGGACUGUUGUCGCCGGCGCUCCCCGCUCGCCGUGCCCGCCUGCUCUCAUCGCUCUCGGGGCUGGUGUUUUCCUGCGGAAAGGGCAGACCAUUUGCCUGAUUAGAAGGUUGUGCUUCUUCUCGGGGUACAUAAGCAUGUAUGUACAAACAGGCUUGUUGUGUGUUUAUGCUCUAAAGCCUCGCUUAGGCUCGAACAGCCCAUCAGCCAAAGUAAGGGUGGGUUGCAUUUUUUUUUAAAUCAGGAUCCCUACAACCAUGCUAGUCACCCCUGAAAUCUACUUUUUGGUGUUUUGAGGCAUUUUUUGGUGCCAUUGUAUAAAUUAAAGAAAUUAACCUAUUUAUCCAUUCAUUGCGACAAUCUCUGAUGAUUUCAUUUAAUGGUUCCUAAUCCUGAAUGUUAACAUUUGUGAAUUAUAUAUGUAUAAAACUAUUUGUGCAUAUCUAAUUGCUGAUUAAUACUGGUAGCUAGUAACACCACAAGCAUAGACACAUCUCAUAUUUAUGCUAAUCCUAAAUCAAUUAUAGUUAAUUUUCAAUCAAAAAAGGAGCCAAGCGUGCUUGAUGCUGAGAACUUCACUUAAAGUGUUGCCCUGAUUGAGUAGGAAGAAAUGUGUCAGGAAGUGCAGGGGUACUGUAUGAGCAGAAUUUACAUCCCGACUUUGCAGUGGAUGAACUCAUGUUUUCAUUCUUCGAGCUGAGUGACUGCUUUGUAGUGUUUGAGGAUUUAUUGAAACCAUGCUAGGUUUCUGAGGACUUCCUAAUAGAGUCUUAUGGCCCUGAGAGCAUAAUUGUUCUCCAAGGAUUUUGAAAUCAAAACAGUGUAAGUGUUUUACAUUCUGUGUGGCAUAAUGAAAAUAAUUUAAUGCCUUUUAGUGGCAUACCAAGUUUAUUUCACUUACUAGAGAGACACUGCAAUAUGGCCAAGCUUUCAUAGUGUUGGGGGAUAUUGUAAUGUGUCAGUAAUUCACGGGCCACGUAAGACAAAAGGUCAAGAGAGCACCAUUUCAUUUUCUAACUGGAAUUACCUUUAGAUAUGGGCACCAGAACAAAUCUGAUCACUAUGGAAGCAAAUAUAAUGAUCACUCUGUGUGGAUUAAGUUAAGCAAUUGUAGUUUUUGAUCUUUGGAGGGAGACUUUGAGAAGGGCAGAGAUUUUGCUCGAAGAAAUAUUGUAAGUCUCUGCCUUUGAUUUAAUGGGAGCUUUGCGACAUUCAUGUAAGCAAGCAGCCACAGUUUCUUCACUGUUCUUUGUGGUGGUCUAAAAAUCAUCCUUAAAUUGGCGUUCCUAAGAGGUUUGUGCUCAGCUGGCUCCAGGGGACCCGGGGGAUUGCUCAAGGAGGACCGAGGGCACUGGGGUCUGUGGGUGAGGGGUGGCCGAGGGGCUCCUCCUGCGGUGCCACCUGGGUGGGAGCAGGGUGGCUUGUGAUGGGAGAGCUGCCCCAGUGGCACCGGGGGACAUCUGUGACUUGUCCAGACAGCCUGAGUCACUUCAGCUGCUCCUCUACAGCUGAGACCUCAGAUGAAGGUGGGAAGGAUGUUUCCCUCUCCCCUUGCCUUCCCAAAAAUGUAACUUAAGACACAAGAGGAUGACAAGAACAAAAGACUUUUGAUCCUAUCCCCACAGAAAAGGGUUGCAGGGGCCCCUGGCUGGGGAGAGAAACGGGGAUGUCCUAACAUUUUUAUUCUUGCCGUGGGGCAUCCUCAGGCUGCAAAGACAAAACUGUGACCUGUGCAAGACCAGGAGCAUUUCAGGCUGGCCCAGGGUUAUGGCUCCUUGAAGAAGCCCUCAGAAAACAAAAUGAAAGCUUAAUGAAACUCUUGGUUUUAAAUUUAUAGGAAAAUAUUGGGUAAGAAGCAAAGACGCUUGUUUUGGUUUGGAUGGACAAAUUCCAGAAACUAGUUUUGAAAUUCUUGAGAGAGAAAGGGUAAAGCCAAGGGACAUGUGAUAAGUUUCCUGCAGGAAAGCUCUAUCCAUCACUCCUUUUCCCUUUCCUUUGUGAGUAAGGUUGUGAAGGUUUUAUAGUGUUGGUUUUGCUCCUAGCACAGUAUUGAGUAAAAGUAAAUACAAUUCAAAAAAAAAAAGGUGAGGAUGGUAUAAAUGUGGAGGCCUGAAGGAGGAUAGAGGAGCACAUCUAUAAAUUGAUGCUCACACUCUUUGUGGAAGCAGUCCCGUGUAGGCCACGGAGGGAAGACUUACCCUUAGACACAUUUUCAUCUGUCUUGCCAAGGCAUUGGUAAGGCUUUUUGCAUCUGUGCUGUCUCAAAAGAAGUAUUGAUCAAACACAAAUACCAUCCUCUUGUGCAUGUAGGGCACCCUGUGAUUUGCCUUGUGUCUCAGAGACCCUUUCCAAUGAAUUUCCUGGUCCUUGUUUAUGCAGCUCAUGGUAAAACUCCAGCCCAUUAGAGGGCAUUGGCUGUCCUGUGUUUGUACUUUGUCCCCAUUGUUGGUCGUUUACUGCUGACAGUUCAGUAACUUGCAGCAAUCCCUGUGAACUCACUUAUUGGCAAGAUAUUUGCCUGUGCUUGUCUUUGCUUCUGAGAGAGUGUUUUGGAAAAGAUUACAAGAAUGAAAGCUGCUGUGAAAUGCAGCCCUACUUUUAUCCCUGGUGUAACACCGAAGUCACUGCAGUUACCACGGGAUUGGAUUUGGCUCUCCCUGCACAUUUUCCUUUUUUUUUUUUAAUUUCAGGUAGAGCAAGAUGUGGCUUUAGUGCAGCUCUAGGGACAAUGCCAAAGUGCCAUAAACACUAACAAGUGGAAUAUGCCCUCAGACACUUUGUUAUGGGCACUGCUAAAUUAGCCUCACUGUAGUAAAGGUGGCUUUUGCCUUUAAGACAAAACAAUAAUUCCAUAAAAAAUUUUGAGACCUGUAAACAGCCCUUCAGUUGCAAGUUUGCAUUGAAGGUAUUCAUCUCUGCAACAAAAGUGCUUAUGAGUAUGUAGUGAUUAUUAAAAGGAAGUUUUUUAGCAUGUUUAGUAGUUUUACAGAGAAGAAUGAGUACUAAUUAACGUGAGAAAUUGCAUAGCAGCCUUUCAGGACUGUGUAUGUUUAUUGGGUUAUAUAUAAAAUCUCUUGGCGUGCACUGUUAAGGGAAAAGGAUACUUUCAUAAAAAUUUCUGCUCAGAUAAUAGAAUUUUUGUACAAUGAGUAACAAUAGUCUUCAUUUCCAAAGCACCUUGUGCAAAUUGGGUAUUAAAAUUGAACUUUGAACUAGAACAUUGACAAAAGAAAUCCUGUUCUGUGGGCUUGCCUGGUUCUCUAUCUAACUGCCAUUACUUGGUGUUUUCCUGGGUUUCUGUUAGGAAACUGCGAGGUAAAUAGCUUUAUGAAGAGUACAGUAACAUGUUACAAAUUAUUUUUACAGUUACUUUUAAUUUUAAAAGUUCCAUGCAAGUUGCUGCCUCCAUAAAGACAUUGUUACCUUGUAAAGUUUCCACAGUGUUAAAUAUAUUUGAAUGUGAAUAAGGUAUUUGGAGUGAUGAAAUACCAGAUGUGAAGUAUCAGGUUUCAUGUUUAUUCAUCUGUUCCUGCAAUCAUUGUACAAAGAUACGCUCUUGUAUUUCCCCCCCCCCCCCCCCUUUUUGUUCUCUCAGCAACACGCACCAAAUGAACGCAGUGGAGAUGGGACUCCUAUUCUGAAAGCCACUCUUUGGGUUUUUUAGGUUGUAAACAAAUGUGUCCAGAAGCGCUCUGGCAGCGCUGGGCUUGCUCGGUGCCACGGCGCACGCGUGACGCCCGCGCUGAGCCCUGCCAGCAAGGAAGGGCAGGACGGGCCACGGGGACGGUGUCUGCAGGAGAAGUCACUCCUGAAAUCGCUUGGGUUAUGAGCAAAUCUGCCUGAGAUCCUUUCUGCAAUGUGCUGAUGUUCUUGCAACAUCAGCAGGCCGUGCUUGCAAGAGGGCGAGAUCUGUUGUGUGAGCCCAGCCCGUGGGAAGGAAGGGCUGCUGGGCUUGCUCGUUCUCGAGGAUUUCUGAAAUGUGGGGGAACAGGGUUUAAUCUUGCUCCUUGGGCUUUCAAGAGUAAAUUGUCAGUGCUUUGAGAUAAAGAGGCAGAGUCUUCAUAAGACAGAGAAUUUUUUUUCUCUUUUUGUUUUUACCUCUCCACCAUAACCCGCUGUCCUAAAGAGAAAAUCUAGGUGGGACAGUGAGGGCUGUGUGUGAUAAGGGUCUCAACUCCUACCUGGGGAGCAGGCAGAGGGGAGCAGGCUGUGGUAAGCACCUCAGCUGAAAGUGCCGGUAAUGUUGUGGAAGGUACAUGGCACAGCCAUGGAUCGAGUAUUGCGUUGGCUGUGUUGGGUUGGGAGUAUGAUGUAUUCCAAAGGAAGUGGGAAAGCAUACUAAAAAGUUUUGCUGAAAAAUUAUGCAUCAGAAAGAGCAGGGCAUCCUUUGAAAGUGAUUUUUAGCACUUGGGCUUUGUCCUCUCUCUACUAAGCACGUUCACUUCAGUCACCCAUUUUAAGGGGAGCUGGCAGAAAGUUGUGUGUAGCCUGUUCAUGGGAAGGACUAAAGUGUGGCUGCUGCCCCAGCCUCCUGGUGCUCAGUAGGCACUGCAUGGAGGAGGCACUGGCAACAUCAGUUCUUGCCUGAAACUGAGCAGAAGCUACCAGGGCAGGUUCAGAUCAAGCAUUUGCCCACCUCAGAAUAAUUUAGUGGCUAAUCCUAUUUAAACAGCCAAAGGAAACAGCGUAAGGCUGUGUCUUUCCUUUAUGACAUUGUUCCUUUGGUAAUACCCUUGUUUAGAACUGACACACGGUAACGUGAGAGCACUGAAGUGAUGCAACCUCACUGGAACAUCCAGGAUACCUUUAGGUGGUUGUCUAGUGCAAUUUGUAUUAGCUCGUUUUUCUCCCAGCACUGGUUUCUCAAGAUGAACUUGUGAUCCUGUCAUUGCAGAAGGCAGAGUUUGCAGCUUUAAGAAAUAGCUGUCGUGCUAGGAGGUAGUUAAAACAGUCUUGAUCAGGCUGAUGGAGUGUGUUAGCUGGUUGCACAGUACCGAGAGAUCAAGAUAAUUGAAAAGCCUGCAUGUAGAUAGCAUGAAAGAAAAUUGACUUGUUGAUUUGAUCUCAUUCCUUGUGGAGCUGGGUUCGCUCCUGGGGCAAGCACCCUCUCAUUCGGGCAGCUGGGGACAGCUUGAGUUGGACAAGUACGGCCCACUCGGGCAUUAUGAUGGGCUGUAAGGUUUGAAUUCCUCUUCACGGGGCCAGUAUCAGACUGUGGUAGAAGGGUCUGCGCGUCAAACACCAGCUGAGUUAUGUCACACAGUCGUGGCAGCAGAGCAGUGGCACACGUCCCCAGGAGAGGCCUGACGUGGGCACGGGGAGGGUAAGGUACAUCCAUGUUGGCACUCUUGUUCUGGGCACCCUUACGGAAGCAGAAGAGGUGAGAAAACUUAGAAAUUGUUGUUUUGUGAAGAGAGAGACUCUGACGGUGCAGGGAGCAAUUUACACGACCAGCAACAGAGAAAAAUAUUGAUCGAAGUUUGACCAGCACCAUCGCCAUGGUUUUCACCUGCACCUAAGAGUGCUGGAUUUGGGAAGUCCAGACUAGGGGCCAGUGAGAUGAGUGGUGAAAACCAGACAUCUGAGCCGUGCUGGAAGGGAAGUUUCAUCCCAAUGUUCCCUCAGGGGGUUUGCUCCGUGUAGGUGUGAUAACAAAUAACACUGUGGGGAACAAGGAGCAGUGGGAGCACAAAGAAAUUUUACUGCAUUUUUGGUUUUCUGGGGAUAUGCAGUCUCCUGAGAAGUGAGCUUGUGUCCCACCCCACACCUCACGGGGGUGAUCCUGGGCUGACUGUCGGAGAGUAAAUGCUGUGGUAGUUGUGACAUGAGUCUUACACAAUUUCCCAAGGGCCUUCUAUUCAAAAUUAAUAUGUAUCUUAUCUGAGUCUUACGGGGAUUUCCUAACAGAUGCAUGAAGGAUUUUUUUCCUUUUAUUUAUUUUUUUUUUUUGUGGUGCCCUUGAGAAGUUUCAUUAAUACCAUUGUAUGAAUAUUUUCCUAUCCUACAAACAAUUUCAUGUGGGGCACUUGGUCUGGAACAUCAGACAGAAACACUUCAGGCUCUGGGCUUCCAGAUGAUUCAAGUCUGGAAUUUGAGUUUAAGAAAUUAGACCCUAAUGGAUUAACAGUUUACAGACUUUCAGUAGAAGUAAUGGUUUAGUUAGUAGAAAAAAGGCUCCUCUGCAAUUUUUCUGGUUUUGUUCUAGGCAUAAAAAGUGUUUACACUGUUUGACUAAGGAACAUGUUUUUGUAAGCAAAAAUACCAUACAGAUUUGGGACAUGAAUGUGAUAAUUCCAUUUCAUGAAUGCUCUUUUAACCACACAGAAGUGGCAUGGCUUGUUAAAGCUAAUGUAAAAGGGACAGCAAUACAUCCCAAAUUCACGAGGGGAUUGGAACCCUGAGAAGGCACUGCACACUGUGCGAGUUGCUGGGGUGUCAGUCAAGCACCAUCACAGUUUUACCUGCGGGGUACUCAGGCACUGUGAGUAGGAACUGUGAUCAACACACACCUUGACUGGUGUGAGAAGUCAGUGUCACUAUUGCACCUGCACAAUCACAGCCUUCCCACAACAGCCAUCUCCAGCUGGGUCAGGCCUCCCGAGGAUUUUCUGGAUUUCAUGCUCGUAUUGAGAUCUCCUUUCUGCCUUGAAGGGGGCAGUCAGCUUGCCAGAGGCUUCCAGGUGUUUAGGCCUUUAAGAAAGAUCAGGUCAUCAACCCAGCUCCUUGUUUGGUUGCCCCCCUUGGAUGAGGGGGACCCAACAGGCAGGGAUGGAUUUGGCUUGGGCUGAGUUCUUGGUUUCUCUGUAGGCAACCAUAUCACCCUUGAUGCCUGACAGUUCUGGGGACAGCAGCACAAAAAACAUGCCUGGAGGUGUUAGGGAGCAUAUUCCAGUAAUCCGAGUGGAAGUAGGUGAGGUAGAGUAUGCCAAGUUUGCAUAUAACAAAGAAAAUGCUUUUUCAGUUUGCCUAAUCAUUGCAACAGAGCUAAAACAUCUGAAGAUUAUUUGCCUGAAGCUGCUUUGCUUUUUCUUACUUCUACCUUAACAUCAACUGGUAUUUGGUUAACAUGGAAAAGAAAAGGAUUAAUGAAAUAAAAAUCACAGUUUAGACUGUGUUUGUCAUGCCAGCAAUGCAAGUGAGUAGGGAACACAGAUGAGAAACACAUCUUCGGCUGUUUGGAUUCAGCAGCAGUUUUACUCCUAAACUAGCAGGUAACACUGCUGUCUUAGACAUUGAGAAAAGGAAAAUGCUAGCCCAGUUGGCCCCAGUUUCAGGGACCUGGGGACAGCAGGCUGGGUAUAGCUGACAACUAAUAAUUUUCCAUAGUGAAAGUAGUCUUUGGAUCACUUUAGCAGGUGCCUUCAUGUGGCCUGGUAACUUCAGCAUUUAAUUCUUUGAACAAGAAUUGCAUUUUCAUUUCUUUAGUUCUUCCUUGGAUGGACUGUCAGCAAGAAACCUUUCAGUGCAAUUCAUGGUGAAAGGAGUGUUUACUAAUAGCUGUGUAUAAAUACAUGCACAUACCUAUAUGUGCAAAUAGGUUUGUGUGUGUGAAUAAAGUGUGUUCCAGCCAAUUAAAAUGUAUUUAGGAGUCCUCAGCCAGGAGGUGUAUACACAAGGAAUCAGCUACUUCUUGGCUGGGCCCUUCCUUUGCUUUGGCAACCAAAAGCAGCCUCCCAUGAGGGUGCUCUGCGAAGAGAUGGUGUGAUUCAUAUUUGUAGCUGUUAUUAGGUAGGCAUGGAGGCAUAUAUUUAGAUAGGUGAGGUAUGCAGGCAUACAUUGUGUGCUGCAUAUUUAGGCUGCACAGGGUAUUUUUAGCUGCAGGAGGCCCAAUCAGCAGCGUGCUGAGGAGAAUUGCUGUAAGGGAUAGCGCACCGAGGAGCCGCCCGCAGAAUUUUCCAUCCUGCCAGGCAGCAAGAAAAGGCCACUGGAGCUGCAUAGCUGGGUGGCCAGAGGAGUGCCAUUGACAGGUGGGACAGCUCAGAAAGCCCUCUGGCCUGGCUGCCCCGAAGGCUCUUGAUCUGCCUCAGCCCCCAUUCGGGAGCAGUUGUCCCAGGUUCCAGCCUCCCACCGAGCCCCGUGAGCGUGACACACGCAGAGCUGCUGGGGGAUGGCCUGGAGUCUGGCAUGGGAGGCUAGCAAAGUGGUCAGUAAUAGGGAAGAUGCAUUAGGGCUGGAAAUACUGAGCAAAAAUUAAAAUGAGGUAAAACAGCCAUUAAAAACCCACUUCUAUUAAAAUUACGAGACAGGAAAUUUUACAAGCUGCCCUUGCCCAAUGAAGAAAAGCAGCCUAGGGGGACUAAAUAACUUGUCUGAUGUCAUCAGGGUUUUUACAGCAGAGCUGGGAAUUGAGCCCUCUUCCCCCCAGUGCCAUCUAAGCUUUAAUGCUGAAGGGGGUCCUUUCAGAGCUUAUCCAGUGACCCUUGGGGCGUUUAGGGCAAAUCGGUGUUCCUGCACCACAUCCUGUGUGGGGGGAGAGCAGGCUGCAUCUUCCUGAGAGUACAAUCUCUGCAUAAUGUGACCACAGGAAGCCUUGCUCCUGUAAUAAGGGAGUUGACUAAAUGCCAUUUUAUUAUUAUUAGACAUUUGCUUAAUACGGUAGUUCCUUGAAACCAAACAAGAAAAGGUCCUCGAGGUGCUGCAUACCAUGUACAAAUAAUGGAGAGCCACAGGGAGUCUAAACAUGGAGAAGAGAAAGUGGAUGGGAAACUGAGGCAAUGUUUAGCCCCAUAUUGAUGCUCCAUGAGAUGAUGGGGUCCUUCUACAGAGUAAGAGAGAGGCUGCUGAAAAUAGGAUGAUUUAAUUUGUUCAUAACAUUAUUAUUCAAGGAACAAAAAAGUAUGUGGCCUUAUCCAAAGAAGUAAUCUAAGAGGUCUUUACUCUGUGCCAAACUAAAAUUCUGCUAUUUAAUUACCGAUUUAGAAAAUAUCUUGGGCUCAAUUUCCUCCUCAGUUGCACUGUUAUAAAUCUAAUGGAAUUGUUAAAGAUUUAUGGCAGUAUAACUGAAGGCAGAAUUGGAUCCCUUAUGUUUAAAACUUAGUUUGCCACAGGAGUAAUAAUUCCUGUUUUCUAGGCAAGAGUUUAAGAAUUUUGCAGACCUCUGUUUCUGUAAAAGAAAUAUGAACUACAGUAGUGUGGGUGAGUGAUUAAUGCUGGAGGGGAUGUCUAGGGGCAAUCGGAAUUGGCUGGUGUGGAAAAUCCAUGUGCAAUUCAGAUUUAGGAUCUGUUUGCAGAUGCCUCAUAAUUCAAAAUGUCAAAAAAACCCCAAACCUUAGGCCUUCAUGUAGUAAAUUAAUAUACUGUGUGUUCAGCGUGCAGCAGGCUUUGCUGAAGUAAUACCCUCAUAUGAGGUGUGAACUCAUCCCGUUCCCCUUAGUGAGGACUUAAAUUCAGAAUUGAUUGUGACUCUUUACAGCCUGACAGCAUCUAAAUCCUGUUAAAAAAAAAAAAUCCCAGUUUUGUUUUUAUUUAAAUCAUGUGUGUAAUGACUUCAAAAGGAAGAAUACUGCCUUAUUUAUUCUGACCUAAAGAAAUCUUCUGUUAGUGCAGAUCUAUUUUAGACUUGUCAGCUCUAAGGAAGGGUCUUUCUAAUGGGCUGUUGGUUGUUUUCCUCAGCCUCCACUUAGGCAAAGAGCUGAACUGUGGAGGUUUUCAGAGGCGAGUUGGGAAGUGCCUGUCUCCUGUUUGGGGGUGCCUGGUCUGGCCCUUGCCCUCGCCCACCCCACAGGCUGGGCAGCCCUGGGGGAGCCCUGGCCCUUCCUGGGGCUGCAGGGGAUGCUGUGAGCAGGGGCAGCUUCCCCAGGAACACGCUCUGUGAGCUGCAGGUGUGCUGCUCUGGGAUUUACGGCACCUGUGACAGUUUAUGCUGUUUCCAGGGGGCUGUGGGCCUGCAGUGCAUUGUAGGCAUCGAAAGGAGUUGUAAUAGAAAACUAAACCAAAGUAUGAUCCCUUGGAAAUGAUGUUAUUCAGAAUCUGCUCAGAAUUGCCUAUUUUAAAUCAAAUACAGUAUUUAAGUCCAAGGUACAUUUUUAGGAGCUUUAUUUAGGAAUGGAUUGAAGAGUUAAUUAUUGUAACUUUGCCCCCAGUUUCUCUACUUCCUCUUGCUAGUGGUGCAGGGGGAUGAGGCAUGAGGGCUGUACUCAGUUCAUCACACACCUUUGCUUCUGCUCCUUCCACCUCAGGGAGAGGGCUCCUCAUACUCUUCCCCUGCUCCAGUGGGGGGUCCCUCCCAUGGGACACAAUUUCCAUUAACUUCUCCAAAGUGAUUCCUUCCCACGGGCAGCAGUUCUUCCCGAAACUUCUCCAUCCUGUCCCUUCCACAGGGUUCAGGCCUUCAGGAACGGGCUGCUCCAGCAUGGGGGUCACAAGUCCUGCCCACAAACCUGCUCCAGCAUGGGCUUCUCCUGGGGUCACAGCCUCCUUCAGGCACCCACCUGCUCGAUAUGCAUCCUCAUGGUGGAUCUCAGCAUCCCGUGCCCUCCCUGUGCUCAGGGCUGCCCCAGGGUUGCCCCAGGGCUGCAGGACAUUCCCAGCAUCCCGUGCCCUCCCUGUGCUCGGGGCUCAGCUGCCUCCCCAGGGCUGCAGGGGAGUCUCAGCCCCAGCUCCUGGAGCUGCUCCUGCACUGCCUGGCUGUCUGCAGGGCUGCUCCUCUCACACAUCCCACUCCUCUCUUUGGCUGCAGCUGCCCAGGGCUUUUCCCUCCCUCCCAAAUCUCCUAUCUCAGGAGCAGUACCACCAUCGCUGGUGGACCAGCAGCGGGUCUGUCUCACAGCUGGCGCUGGCUCUGUGAGGUGUGGGGGCAGCUCUGGCAGCUUCUCACAGCAGCCAGCCCUGCAGCCCCGCAGUGCCCAGCCUGGCCAUGCAGCCCCGUUACUCUGUGAGAAGAGUAGCUCUGAAUGAACAUAAAACAGUUCCGUGUUCAGUGCAGUCCUCUCUUGAUGCAUUGAUUCGUGAUACCUGUUACUUUUAAGUAUGGGUUUUGUUUGUUUUUUAAAUACUGGCGAGUCAUUAACUACCUAAAAAUUAGUUGAAAUUUGAAGGAAUAAACCCCCCCCUUGUUGUCACUGAGGUAUUUUGCAGCCUAAGCAAAGGCUCAGGUAUUCCAGAUAUGAUAGAUGUGCAGAUUGCAUAAGACAUUAUGCAUUGCUCUCUCUAAGAUACAGAGUCCUGUCUGCCCUUAAACCCUUUGUUCUCUUGGCUGAAUGCAGUUAAUUAGCAACCGUCUCCAUAGCAACUGCCUCAUAGUACAAAAACAUUGUCUCGUUUUUGCAGUUUAGCUUAUCACACUGUUUACCUGAAGGGCUUUUCACUGCGUUCAGUCUCAUUUGAGUUGGCUACAUGCCUGCUCAUGGAAGUGAAUUGUCAAGACAGAAAAACACCAUGCCAGCAAGAUGCUGAACAGGGCCCUCUGUGUGGAACCAAAAACAUUUAAAAAGUUCUGUGGAAACAAAAGUUGAAGUUUGCAAUGAUUUAUGUCCAGUUUUAAGGCACGUGACUUGCCAGUAACACAGUGCAUUUUGAAAUACUGCUGUACUUCUGGGCCUGUUUUACAGACUGCCCUGCGUGGUGCUCCCUUGCCUGUAACAUCCUCUAAAGCCUGGUCACCGGCACAGCCCUGCAUCCAGGGCCAUCCGGAAACUUGCCUCCCUCCAAACCUGGGCUCUUUCAGGCAGCUCCAGCUUGUUCUUUCAGAGGAUGCUGCUGUGCCCUGGUCAGCUGUGUCCAUCAUUGCAGCCCUAUCCAUGUUCCUUUAUAUCAGUAACAUUUCAAGGGAAAUCUGUGAGUGUUGGUUCCACAUGAUAAAUUAGUUAGGAAGGGAAGAGGAAGAUCUGUUGUGGUCAUAUAAUACGCUGGAGAUUUAGGUUUAUUCAUGCCAGCCAUCGCAGUGGCGUUAAAAUACCUGCUGUGUGCUCGUGUGACUCAGGCACUUACAACGGGCUCAGAUUUGUACUAAUAGGACUUUGUUGGUGCAGGAUGAUGUAUUUAAGUCAUGUUUGAACUUUGGACAGAGGUGUGCCCACAUAUUCACACACCUCUGUAGAGGCUGACUGGAAGGUGUCAUGUGCCAUUCAAAUGACAGUGAAAUUUAACUGGUGUCUCAAUCCAAUAUUUGUGUCUGGCCUCACACCAGGAUGGUACUGCAUGAGAGGCCAUGUGAGAAGAACCGUUUUCUUGCUCAUGAAUGCUCGAUUUGUUGUGGUUUGUUGUCUUUUUUUUUUCUUUCCUUAAGUUGGCAGUGGAGUGGAUGAGAGGGCUGAUCCAGACUGGGGUAAUUCUCAUUUUAUCCUAGGCAGAGCAGAAAGCAGAGCUUGUCCUUCAGCCAUGCCACCAUGCACGGCUUCCCUUCCCUUCCCUUCCCUUCCCUUCCCUUCCCUUCCCUUCCCUUCCCUUCCCUUCCCUUCCCUUCCCUUCCCUUCCCUUCCCUUCCCUUCCCUUCCCUUCCCUUCCCUUCCCUUCCCUUCCCUUCCCUUCCCUUCCCUUCCCAGUGGCAGUUUCAGCUGGCACAGGUCAAUCUCCCUUCCAGCCCCUCUGGCAGGUGGGGCUGCUGCAUCCCGAUAAAAAGGCUUCAUUCAGUGUGACGUGUUUGAAACAGUCUCUCCACAGGCAUGAGAAGGUGUUUCGGGCUCUCUCAGGAUAAAAAGCAGGAAGAUUGCAAAGGCUGCCAGUACUGCUGGUGUGGUCCAGCAGUAAUUAAUAUAAUAAUAAUAAUAAUAAUAAUAAUAAUAAUAAUAAUAAUAAUAAUAAUAAUAAUAAUAAUAAUAAUAAUACUACUACAAUAAUCCUGUGGAGCUUCUGGUUGAUAGAGGUUUAUUCCCUCCUCGUGUUCAUGUCCUGCUCAUGCUAUUGCACAUUCACCAUCGUUGUUAGCAGGUUGUUAGCAGUGUCUGAGUUACAGCAGUGCUGGAAGCCUGCAGGCAGGAUAAAGGCUCCAUUGUAGUAGGUCUUGUGCUCACAAGAUGAGACAAUCUCUGCUCUGGCUGGUGACAGUCUGUUUUAGGACCGGUCGUGUAAGUGAGUUUAUCACAGCGAUCCAGAGAGGGAGAGAAAAUGCUACAAACAACAGGACCCCCUAGGUUACACGAGUAGCUGCUCAGUUUUGUAUCUCGGGGGCUUCGGAGGAUGUUUGUUACACUGGUAGCUGCAGAGCUGAAGGGAAAUGAAAUGCUGUUGCUUGUGCUGCUCAUCCCCAGAGCCAGCCCGUGGCCACUGGGCGCGGUGGGGAGCAGGAGGGCUUGGCACGGGAAGGGGAGGUGGGCAGAGAACCUGAGGAGGUGCCGGAGCAAAGGGUGGGUGGGGCUGGCGACAAAAGGGCUGCUGAAGUGGGGAUAAAAAUUCCGCGUGAUAAAUGGCCUCAGUGUUUGUCCAGAGCAAGCUGCCUGCGCCUUCAGGCUGCCGCACAGGCUCUCCCCUGCUUAACCCUCUUGGCCACUGGCAUGGCUGAAACAACAGAUGCUCGGAGUCAAUCCCCCACUUCCUCCGAGUGUAAGAUUGUUUGCUCACAUUCACAGAUCCUCCGCAAACUGCCUUUGUGUGGAAACCACAGAGAGUGUCCAAACUGUCAGGGUGUUUUCCAGCUUUUAGAAAUGCUCUUAGCAUUGUCAGCACCUUUGAAUCCACAUCUCAGUUCUUCUGAAGCCAGACUUGCUAGGUACCCUUAGGGGUCCAGAAAUGGAAAACUCUAAUGGCCUGAAAAAGCCUGCUAGAACUUGACGUUAUUUAAUUAGCUGAAAGUAGAGCUUGGCAGAUGGCAAAACAGUGGAAAGGACCUCCCUUUAUAAAAAUAUGGGCCAUAUCCUCAGCUUGUAUAAACUGGCAGAGCUCCACUGAAAUAGAUGUUCAGCUUCUGUCAAUUAGCAGGGAAGAGAAAAACUUCUAAAAACAGGAAAAACAGCUAUAAUACCACAGAUAUAUCAGUGGGGUUCAGGUGCAGAGUUGUUUUUAAUGCUUUAAAGACGGAUCCACUUCCAAAGCAACUGUAUCUUUUACAGUCUUGCUUCUGUUGAUGUGCCAUUCAGAGAAAGAAUUUGGCUGGCUUUGCCGAAGCUGCAUUAAGUCUGCACAUCUUGCAGCAGCGUGACGUACUCUGUGCUGCUUUCUGCAAGUCAUUCACUUAUGAAAGUGAGACAUCAAUAAUUCAUUCUAGUAAAGCCAGUCUCUAGAGUUGUGUAAAUUCAUCUAUUAUGUGACAACCCUAUCCAACUUUAACAAAGUUUUUUCGAGGCACAGAACGUUGAUUGAAAGUUGUGAGCUCACCUCAAUCUUUUCCAGUGAAAAUUCUUGCUCAGAUGAAAUCUCCCAUAUGUUUAAAAGCUGUUGCAUUCUUACAUGCUAAUGUUUCCCAUUAAUUGCUUGGAUUCUUUUUUGUUUUGUUUUGUUUUUAAUUGGAAACAUGAAAACAAAGCCUUACAACAAAGCUGACUGCUCACUUGUCCCAUUUCAUGGUAUCAACCUGACAGAUUCAUUAACUCUAUAAAAGAAUCAGGUCAGAAUUGGAAGUGAACUGAACUUGCUGAAAGCACUGCAGUGUUCACAAUCUGCUUUCAGACUGGCUUUUCUGUACCUGCUCGUUUUUCUUUGUAUUAAACCAUCUGUGUAAUUUAAGGAGCUACUGCAGGUUAACCCCAUACUAUAGAAUAUGGUGAGGCUUCAGAGUACACUGGCUGCAAGCUGCAGAUUAGGUGCAGAAAUAAAAGCAGCAAGAAGGAAAGCUAACUUUAAAUACAGCAGUGAGAGGGAUUUGAGAUAUUGUUACAGGUUGCUAAACUGGGGCCGUGCAAACUGCUGCGAAGUCACGUUUCUGGAGCCGUGCUGAGCCAGCCUGUCCCUGCUCCCACCCACGGGGGCACGUGGAGAUUCGGGCAGGGGGUGAAGGAGGAGAAAGUGGGAGAGGAAUUGUGGCUGGCGCUGGGGCACAGCCGGCCCCUCCGCGUGGGUGCGGCCAGGCCGGGUGGCUGCCUUCUUCAUUGUUUUCUAUUUAGUUAGGAUUUAUUUUAUGAUUUCCCAUAACCACGUGACAUUUCACAAAUUCUUCCCAUUCCAUCAAUCAUGUGAUUUACGGUCAGUUACUCUUUCUGCUCCUUUUGAUGCCACCACCUGCAGCUGCUGCUGGGAGCCUGAGUCUCACCGGGGGCACCUGGGCACCCCCUCCUGCCACCUCCCGCCCUGGUGCCAGCAGCAACAGGGCCUCGCUGCCCUGCAGGGGUGACUGAGGCCCCAGCCAUUCCUGACACCUCCUGGAUCACCUCUAGGUUAUUUUCUCAGCAGUGGAUGAGCACGAGGUGUGCUGUGGCCAGUCCGACCGUCAGCAGUGACAUCUGUUUCUGUGGCAAGUGUCACCAUGACAAGUGUCCAAACCUGGGGCAAGGGGUUGACAUGGACGACCACGUGUGGCAACUUUCCAGCCUGUGUUGGCAUUUGACCCCAGGACAGCCAACAAGGGGCCUUGGGAGGGAAAGAAAAUUGUCCUUACAGGCUGUUAGAAGAAUGGUGCUGAAAUACAGAACAAAAUUCUCUGGACAAAAACGUAAUAGCAGGUUACACGUGAAAAGCCAGAUUCACCUGUGCAGCUCACUGGAGUUUCUUCAGCACAGACAAGGUAGGUGAGGCUCUGGCCAGAAAAGCAGCUCCUCUGGGGAAUUGCAUCAUGAAAAUCCUGGCCUGUAGCCACUGCAGUCGGGAGAGUGCUGACAAGGAUUUUUUGCAUAUAUUCUUCCUGCUCUGUUUCGGCAAGUCACAAGCCAGGAUUUCACCUUGUCCUAAAAGCUGUGAGGGUGGUUUAUUUUAUUUCACGUAUAGAAUAUUAGAAAAAGACCACUCUCAGGCAAGACUGUGUGGCCAUGGAGGGCUGAACUGAGGUGAUGGGUUAUUUGCAAUGGCAUUCCAUCCAAAUUAGGUUUGUGGGUAUGAGGGUGCUGCACGCAUGAGCCCGCUCUGUGCAAUUCAAAUCAGAAUUUGAGUUUGAUUUUUGACACAGUGAUCCUGUGUCUGGAUAGCUGCGGCUCUGCUGGAGGUCCCUUCAGGCAGCUGGGACUGAACCCCUCUGCCACUCGUGGUUUAGCUGAAAUACCCCUGGAAAACCAGCACAAAAUCAACAACUUGUUGAAAAGGGAGGCUCAAAUCAAUUUUUCUUGCCAAAGAAGUAACUGUUUGAUUCAGGAGUUCAAAAUUCUGUGCAGGGCUCUGACAUGCUGCCUUAAAAACAAAGCCACUGUGCCUAAUGAAGAGGGGUGUGUGCCUGUGUGUGCCUGAGCACUCUGUGUGUGUUUGAACACAGUGGGGUUUAUUAGGAGCUCGGGGAGGAAUCAGCCAGGAGGAGACACGUGGCCGCGGAGUUUAUUUUACAGCAUCGCCCUCCUGGUUCAGAAAUUUCAGAUACCAAGGCUGUGGUGGAGGCUGAAGUGCUGUGGUGUGCUGGGACAAAAAGUGGACCCUUGGAUCUGCUGAGCUUGGCACAAGAGGAGCUGGUAACCAGGAUAAACAUGAAAGCCCAAGGAGAGAUGUAUUUUUUUUGGUCCGAGUUUCCUGCACUGAUGUCUCACUUAGAGGCAAAUGCAAUUCUGUGUGUAAAAACAGAGAAAUAAAGAAAUAGAGGACUGAAGAAGGAAAUUUCAUGGAUUUUUACUUUAUUUUUGUGCUGUAAGUAGAGCAGAGGGCAUGAAAUGGUCACAAGAGGAUCAUAAAGCAUUUGGAGCUUGAGCAAUGGAAAUUUGGUGUUUGGUUAUCCAGGUUGAUACUAAACAGACAGAGGGAAGAUGUCCAUAACACACAGAGUUGCUAGGUAAGGAAACAUAUGAAUAUUUGUAAGCAGUGGAGUUCUUAUAUAAAAAAUAAGGUAAUAAUCAGAUUUUUCAUGAGCUGUAUUCCUCAACGCUGUAAAUCACAGUGAAUAUUUGCAGUAACAGCUAGAUUCAGACCCAAAAGGCAAAAUAUAUAUACAAAACUGCUUCAAUCUAGGCCUGUAAAUCCAUUAACAGGCAAGAAGUAAAAAGAACCUGCCUGACAAAGAUGCUCACAGCACGUUGCUGUGCCACCUCAGUAACCUGAGCUUUACAAACAACUGCUGCAUAGAAGGUUGUAGCUGAGGUCAUUUCACAUCCCAAAAGCCAGCCAGAAAACCUCCAAGCAACUAAUGCUGGACAUGUUCUUAAUGUUCUUGCAUACUUUGCUGACCUGCAGUCUAUCAAAGCAAACCACUGUUGAUGAGCUCCUGGUUCCACUGAAAUCUGCAGACUUUGGAGGAGAUUUCUUGUGUGUGUGAGAAAGCUGAGUGAUGUUGGUGUGUGCUUGGAAGGUGGCUCAAGAUGGGGGCUUGUUUCUGUAGCUGAGUUUAGUGGGAACUCUGCAGUGUCUUUGGUGGCACAUGAGUUUCUGCAGCUCCUCCUGACCCUGCUCAAAUCAGUGCAAAAACUCUGCUCUGCAGAGGGUCUGAAGGGUGGUCUUCAUAGCAAGCUUUUGAGAACUCUCAGUAAUGUAUUCUUGACUCUUAUUUGUGCUGAGGCCUCGUGUAAGAAACACUGAGUAGAGCUGAAAGCUCGGCAGAGUUUGCCAUCCAAGCCUGGAUGGGAGAUCCAGCUGAGUUGCCUUGCUCAAACCCCUGCUCAGGCCAGGCUCCCCUUUCCUUGCGUGGGAGCUGCAGAAGGACUGACACAAAGCAAACGUGCCCGUCUUGGGAGAGGAAAGCAAGCAACUGUAUUCAAGCUGCAAUGUUUGCUUUAAAGGCAAAUUCAUUCACAGAAUUAUUUAGUUGCACAGGUGGGUUUUUCUUUGAGUCCCUCCACUUUCUGUAAUUGUGGCUCUGAAGUUCAGUCGAGUUACUUUUGAAUAGUUGCUCCCUGAAGAAAGUCUGGGGCUGCCAGUGAUGCUGAUGAGGUAAAGUGUUCUAUCACUUUGCACAUUUUUAUUAAGCAGUGGUUUGAAAGGCAGCAUAAUUGGGAAGCCCUGUCAUAUCUUUGACAAAUGCUUUCUAACAUUGCUGUGUUUUGCCCAGCUAUGACAGAAGCCAUUAGAAUGACACACGUUUCAGCUGUCGCCCGUUUGGGUCUGUACACUCCAGGAGAAAGGAGCUUUUCCUCUCGUCCAGGAAAAGGCUGCAGGAUGGCAAGACCCUCCACUGUAGGGUGUGGGUGCUGGGCCACACACGGCAGAUCCUGACUUGGAUUUUUCUGCCUUGUUUUCACUGUGGGCUUUUCUGUUCGAUAGCUGUGGCAGGAGUAGGAGGCCCUGACAAGUGGUGUAUUUAUUCAUUUGUUUAUUCUUUUUUUUUCAUCUAGCACAGUGAGGUUCUGCUCUUGGGUUUGAAAUAGGGGUGCUAUUUAAUAUAAAUAAUAAUUAGAUAGGUAUGUAACAGGCUUCUAAGUGCUAAAUUCAGCUUGAUGCAGUGUUUUUCAUUAAUCAUUUUCAUAGCUCCUCUGCCAAGGAGAAUUUAUGUAGCAGGUUUCUGAUGGCAAAUAUAGAGGCUGACUGAAUUUAAAUUUAGGCAUUAUUUGAAAGUAUGGUGCCAGCUAGACCCUAUUGUGUAAGAAUUAUAAUGGGUAGUUAAAAGAACAUUAUUUUCCUCUCAAAAUUAUAAAUUUUAAAACUCCUAAUAGUAUAUAUUUCUCACUUUUGGGGGAAGUCAGACAGAAACCCCACAGUUUCUUCCCACAGUGCAGUCAAUUUCUUAUGGUAAAGAGCUUUUCACAUAAGAAGAAACAAAUUUGCAUACGCUUACAAAUAAAGCUAUGGUAAGUCUGAAGUGUAAAAAUACAUCAGAAACUGGAUUUAGUAAACGAAAAGGGGUGGUUAAAAAUUAAAAUGGAUUUUGUCCCUUAAAUGAUAAGCAAAAAGUACCGUGUGAAAUGCCAUUGUGACAGGAGUUGACAGUAAAUUCAGCUCUGGAUUGGACCUCAUAUGGCUUGAAGUAAAACAGAGAUAUUACUCUGACUACUUUUGCAUUGUAGUAAUUAUUUAAUGCUUACAAUGAAGCCUUGUCCUUAGGGUUUUAUGCUUUAGCUGUUAAGUACCCACGCCUUGUAGUUAUUAAGUAGAGACAAAGCUGCCAUUUUUUCAAAUGGCAUAAUGUAUAUCAGUGUGUGUCAAUGAAAAACAUCAGAAAUAGACAUUUUCUGGUGGGAUACAUUAACUCUGUGAAAUCUGGAACAGUUUAUCCAGCUUUGGAAGUUUCUUCAAGCAGUGCAUAAGCCAUAAGUAGAUUUCUAUAAGUACCAAUGGCUGUCAUUUCCAGAAUUUACAGAUCUCAACUUUUUCAGGAGUAGAAUUUGCUCCAUUUGUGUUCUGUCAUAUGCUUUCAGCUAAUUCCAAGCUUCGUCUCAUAUAAAAAAAAUAAUUUCACCCUGUUGGUCAGGAAGCAGUUUGUAAUGAUUGUCUUGGUUUUAUUAAACUACUGAAAAUGCAUUCAUUUUGCAUUUCUGUCCAAAAGAGUUUUCUUGAUUCUGUGUUUGGUUUUGGCCACUUUUUCCAAGUCUGUAGUGGAUGGCUACAUGCAGUAUUGAAAUAGAAUUUUGAGUGCUUGGGGUAGGUUUUUUUUCAUGUCAGGGCUGCAGCAUUAGACCUAAACACCCUGAGUAUCCUGGUGUUUGUGUAACAGGAUAAGGAGCAAAUCUGGUCACAAUAAAUGUGUGAGAAUUCAGAACUCUUAAUGCUCAAGGGCAGGCAUUGGUGGUACAACUGUAGUUCUCUGGGCCCUGAGUGGGGGCCUGAACAUUUCAUGGACAAGCUCAUUUUGAUCUGAAUAAUUCCAUUUGAAGCUGAGGUCAGAGUCAUUCCUUCCUGAGGGUGGGAGAAGGCACGUGGAAGCUGCACAGUAAUAAUGCAGGGGAAAUCAUCUGCCCAUGUGAAAUAACAACAUCAUGCGCUGGUUCUUGCCCUUGGGCACUAAGUCCUUACCCUUGGAAAAGAGCCAGAUGCUCACAUCAUGUAAAUCAGUGUGAUUUUCACUGGCAUGCAUGAGUGCAUGCCCAUUUACACCACAGGAGGAUGGAAGUUGUUGGGUUGUUUUGUUUGUUUUUUUUUCUGAAGCUCCCUCUGGUUGUGUUUCUUGACAUAUCCUUAGAUAUCAUCUAAGUGCUGGCCCUGUCAGAUACUUUAUUGCAUGUCAAAAGGCUCCUGCAUCUCGGAUGGCAGCUGGGAGAGCGAACAGGGUGGCUAGGCUGUGGUGAGACCCAUGUGUGGAUGUGAUUUGCACGUGCAGAACAAAUACUUAUGACCUUUCCUGUGCUAACUUCUUGCAAUUAGGAAAGCUCUCUGACUCAGGAAGUUAAGCAGUGUGUAUGGCCAAUAUUUAAUAAUUAUGAAUGAAUUAUAGAUGAUCAAGCAAAAGUGGAAUUAAUUUGAGGAAAAAUUUCUUUUCACAAAUGUAUGUAAGGCGGUACUAAUAUGAAAAAAUAAACCCAAACCCAACUCACAGCCUGUCAGUGAUUUAAUUGUUUUUCUAGCAUUAGUGUUAAAACUAACUCUCUCUUUCAACUGGGUUGAAAGAGGAAAAUCCCCAGAUGUUAUUUAAAAACACCCAUUCUAAGAUCAUAGAUGCUGCAUUUUUUUAUGAAGUCCACAAAAGAAAUCUAUGCAUUGACCUCUUCCCUGGGCGUUACCCAUCUGUAUGUUCUGUUUAAAAUGUUCCCCGCAGGUACUCAUCCCACACUCACAAUUCUAAUGUAAUAUUUCUGUGGAGGUGAGUCCUUAAUUUUAAUUGUUCGAUUUUUGGAUCGGUUUAGGUAUCCUUAGCUAAUUAUGAGGGCCCUGUAAUACUUUUCUGCUCAAGAAACUCCUAAUAGGAGCGGAUGCCCUGACAGAUUGCCAUUAAUCUGUCAAUAAUGAGAUUUUUUUGGUGCUAUGCUUAGUUGUAAGCUCUUUUGGGAGAGGAUCAUCUCUGUGCUUUGUGCUGGCACAGUGGGGCUCUGCUCCAUCCUCUCCAUCCCAUCUGAGAAAUAAUCUUGGUGGUGUGAAGCAAGGUGAGGGGAACUCUUUGUGUGAGGUAGAUCAUUCUCUGAAGGCCAGACAGGCAGCUCAAAGGCUGGGUUUUCUCCUCCUCGAGGGGACUGGCCAUUUUCCCCGCUGGUGUCCGAUCGAACCAGGACAACCCCGUGGCAGGGAGGAAUGAUGCAUCUAACUCCAUCUAAUCAGGAGGUUAAUUAAUUACUUUAUUACACUAUAUUAUUCUAUACUAUAUUACACUGUAUUACAUUAUAUCUAAGCUGAGUCUGCCCAGCACCCAACUCUGCUCGCCCUGCCAGCAUCUCGCGGCUGUCAGCGACAGUCCCGGCACACACACACACGCUGGGCCCUGACAGGCCCAGGGACCAAAACACAUCACCCUGGGUAAGCAAUCUCCAGAGUGCAUUCUGCUUCGGCACAACACAGGCGCAGCAAAUGAGAUAAGAAUUGUCCUUCCUUUCUCUGAGGUUCAGAGAAUGGGAAACCCAGAAAUACUCUUGGGAAGAACUGUGCCUGGCUGUUCUCUGUGAAGGGAAAUGUGGCGGCCGGUGGCAUGGGGGGCACGGACAGGGGCUGUUUCCAGGGCCAGGGAGGCUUUGGUUGACACUCCUCCUCUCCCCAGCACGGCAGCCAGGCUGGGAACAAGGCAGAUUUUCGUGGCUGCCCCAAAAGGUGAUGGCGAUGGGCAGCAGCUGCUCCCCCGUGCCCCCGACACCCGCGGCAUGGAGCUGCGGCCACGCGCUGGAAGCUGAGGGUGGUGCGGCCUCCCACGGCCCCAGGAACGGGAGAUGCCGGGAAGGAACAGCCAGCCUGGAGCUCUGAAACAAGGCACAGCCCCAUUCCUGAGCCCAGGAGCACACAGGCUUUAAAAGGAGCUGGUUGGAAAAGCAGUGAUGGCUUUAGACUGAAGAAGGGCUGAUUUAGGUUAACAAUGUAAAGUUAUUAGAAUGAGGUAGCAAAACCCUGGAACGGAUUGCCUGGAGAGGCUGUAGAUGCUCCAUACCUGCAAACAUUUAAGGCCAGGUUGGACAGAGCAAUCUAAGUUAGUUUGAUACAUCUCUUAUUGCAGAGGGGUUUGACUAGAUGGGCUUUGAAGGUCCUCUCCAGUCUAAACUACUCUCUGAUUCUUACACCGAGCUGGGACUCUGGCCCUGCACAGGAGCACAGUGAGUUUGGGAGGCACAAGGCUCUGAGAGCACUCACUGACUGGGAGAGCUGACAGCCAGGGUUAGGAAGCCAUUAACAGCCAGCAUUAUGUCAUGUCUGCCUUACUGCUGCCAGGCCAGGUUGCUGUUAGAAAAUAACUUAAAAGUUCAGAAAAGUAAAAAAAAAACAACAAAAAAACCCCCAAACCCUAAAACAAAAACAAAAGCCACAAAGAAAACCCCCAACAGUUGGGCUCAUUUGCAUUCACAAAGAAAGAUGUAUUUGCUUUAAAUUACACCAAGAUUGAAAGUGCUGAUAGUGGGAAAAAAAAUCUUACCUAUGGCACUUUCAGUUAGCUCAGAAAGUUCAGCCAGUGAUUCGACUGCUGAGAGGGAGGAGAGCACAGAUUGCAUUUCAAAGGAAAAUUCAAGCAGUGCAUUAACGAUUAUUAAUGUGUGUUAUUGUUAAAGUAAUCAUAUUUAUUAUGGUCUAGCCUAGGGAGAACCAGCAAAAAUGGAAGUCUUGUUCCGGAGACUGUAGAAACAUGCACACAGUAGGUGGUCCCUGGCCCUGCAGUCUAAAUAGUCAGAGAUGGAGAGGAUAAAGCCCCAGCCCAGCUGAGGAGAGAACAGCAAGAAAUGCUGUGGCUUUGCAUCUGCCCUGCUAGGGCCUGGAUAAUAUCUCUUGCCCAGUUCUCCUUCCAGUGUUUGCUAGAGAUAUGUGAGGGCUUCUGUAUGAUCCUGACUGGGAAACAAACAAACAAACACCCAGAUCUGAGGGGUAGAGAGUUAUUGAUGUGCUGCUGGUCUUGGCUCUCGCAGACACAGCGGAGGCCAGGGAUGGGAGACGGGAUAACGUGAGUGAGCCACAGGCUUGGUUUCUCACUGCUUUGCCUUAAUAACAGAAGAAUUUUACUUCCACUUGCACAGAUAGAAACAUCACCCGUGAUUAAAAGCAGCAGUUGUUUUUUUGCCACUCAAAUAUUUUAAUUGUGCCUAUUUUGAUCAGCCUGCUCUGCUUGGAGGCUGGUGGCAAUGAGUGCCGGGUGUAGUAAAAGGUUACAGAUGCCAUCAGGAAAAGAUACCACUUUCCUAGGUGGAAACUGUUUGGAAAAGCAACCAGACAAAACCAAUCCGAACUGGAAUUAGGACUGUCUUCCCCAUGCAUCCAGCCAUGCCUGCCAUUACAAGCAGCUGCUUUUGCCUCAUCUUACAAACUGAUGUUUCUAAAUGUGUGCUCUUUGUUGUGCAGUCAGGAUCACUGACCCCUAACACAGAAUAAAUGUGCUGGAAGAGGUGUUGAACAGCCUGGCUGGAGGUGUAUCCCCGUGACUCUCUCAGUCCAUGCACACCAGGAGAGGUCUGCUGGGACAGUUGUGCUGGUGAGCCCUCCACAGGGAAUGCAGGUUGUUCUGGCACAAGAGGGCAUUUGCUUGUACCUGAUGCUUGUACUUCAGGAAAGAUAGAUCUGCUGUAGGGCUUUUUUUUGAAAUUCCCUGUUUGUCAGUAUUUGUGGCUUCAUGAGAUCCCAUUUUGAGUCUAGAUCAGUUAUGCGAAGUUGAGGUUUCUCCCUCUCCCCCCGUGGUCCCUUCCCCGGUCGCCCUUGAUCCACUGCCAGGGCUUCCCAGUGGCUGGCCAGGCUAGCCUGAAGCUGGGAGAAUGUGUCAGCAUGGCACAAAAAGUAUGAAAUCUGCAAGCAGGGAGCUCCUUGCUCCGGGCUGUGCUCCUGUGGCAGUCAGUUCCUGCAGCUCUGUGAGCACGAGGCCAGGAGCAUCGCUGGUGACAGAGCCCGAGCCAGCAGAGCAGGAAGCAUGCAGCAGGCAGGUCUGGUGGCUCCUGUGUGAGGGGAAAAUACCAGUCCCACACACUCUGAGAGAGCUGAGGCUCAGGAAAUCCUGGUUUUCAUUGUGCUUUGGUGGUGAGGGGCUGCUGUACCUGCAGGGGGAUGGAGCUGUGCUGGCUGGGACAUUGUGCAAAGGGCUUGGGAGGCUCUUCCAGCCUCCCCAGCUGGUGAGGAGGGGAGGUAAACCAGCCACGUCCCUCCUGCCUCCUCUUUUGUGCAGCAAUUGCACUGUAGAGAGCAGAGGCCCCUUAUCCUGCCUGUCGUCUUUGACUUACAAUUCAACCAGCUCUAAUUAUUAAAAAAUAAACAAGCCUGUAACUGCUUAAGAGCCUUAAAUCCCCUAAAUGACAGGGAAAUAGCCCCUGAACACCACCGAAUUCUAUGUCUGCCUACCCUGGCAGCAGAUACAAAUCAUCAUUAGUGGGUCACUCUGACACAGAUCCCUUAAUGUAAGUGCUACAUUACAUUAACAAGCGAGUCAACAAUAAUAUUAGCAAUAAAUGAGAAAUUAAAUUCCUAGUAAUUCAUCCCUUUGGGUUUCCCAGCGUGUCUCUUGUGUUUUUCUUGUUUUGAUCCUGAGCAUUUUGAAGCAAGAAGUGUCUUUAUUUUGUGUCUUGUGGCGUGAUCCCAGCCCAUUAAAAUGGAUGACAGUACUGCUGUUGACUUCAGUUAGCAAUUACUGUAGGAAGGAGCACAUGGUGUGAUUCAGAAAUUAAUAAUAACCAUAUACACUAAUUUUAAGCAGGGGAUAUAAAAAUUGAACUUUCCUGCUGAACUGAUUUUAAUUCGAACUGUUUUUUUCCAACUGGUUUUUCCAGGAAAACAGAUAAAAAACUAAUUUGCGUUAAAUUGGAAUACUUUUACUUUUCUGAACCAAGAGUGGUAGGGAGGGAGUCACCACUGCUAAGCAACAAUAAAAGAUAAUGUUGGUACACACUAAGAAAACUCUAAAUGAGGAAGACUCCCAAGCAGAACUGGAGUUUUUGGCUGCUAAAUUUAAUGGAAGAUGUGGCUAGACCCUCAAAUGGCUCCACAGCCGAAAUAUUUAAAUUGCUUUGUCUGUGUUUCCUGUUGCUAGAUGUAGACUGGAGCAUUGUUUUGUUUGUUUUGUUCAGAUUGCAGUAGUAGCUGAGUUCCAGUAUGUGAUGGAAAAUUGCUUAUUGGACUCUGCUGAUCAGAAAGCACUGAUUAUGGGAUAUUAACUGUAGUGCUUUUAUGAUGAAGACUAUUAAAGACUGAACCAAAAACCACAACCUCAUUACUUUCAGAAUUAAUGCUCAGAGUAAACCUGCCCUGUUCCUGAAAGGUUAGUCUCCAGUGCAUUAAUUCUUUGGUUCCAUCUUGGCACACGUGUUCACUGAAUUGCUCUGGUGGUCUGAGCAUUUCUAAUUUCACUGCCUCUUCACCCAAAGUGAAAGACCUGCAGAACCUUGCAGCUACAGCUGGGACAAAUUGCAUCUAAUCAAUUAUGGAACAUUAAGUAUUGCAAAAUAAAACAAGGCAAGAAAGGGCAAAAUUCAGUGCGGAGCUCUCCCCUGGCACGUGCCUGUAAUUAAAUGGUACAAACCUUUCUGAGAGCGCAGUGGGGUGCUCAGCCCUGGGCACAGGGGUGCCGCUGGAGACUCCCAGCCCUGCUGGGGUGCAGCUGGCUGCUCCCUGUCCCUGCAUUGCCAGGGUUUGGCUCGCUGGGAGCUGCUGGGGCACGGCUCCCUUCCUGCCCUCCUCCACACACAUCCAGGAGCUCGUGAGGAUGGCUCUGUCCCCAGUCCCCAGAGACAGUUCUGCUUAAUUAUUUGCCAUUUGGGAUGGCUGCUUUGUUCCUGGGUGCAUCUGUGUUCUCACUGAUUGGAAGUGUCACCCCUCGUAAAGGCUGGGUGAGUGUUGGUGUGCACUCAGAAUAAAGUGCCUGCAGUGGCUUCCUGGGCUGGGAAGCCUUGAGAUCUCCUUCCCCCUCCCUGCAGCAAAACUGACUCAAAACUAACAAAAACAGGGCAUUAAAUGUGGGGAGCUGCCAGGUAGGCAGAAUAGGAGUUCUUAAGUUUUCAAGGUACUACAUGAAAUCAAAUGCUAAAAGUCUUACCAUGUUCCUCCAUUGCAGUUUGGGGAUUUUGUUUGGAUCGUUUGCUUUCACCCAACUUUCUCUCAGUAUAAAUUUAUUUUCUGCAGCUUCCUUAGAUCUACAGUCUAAAUAAUGUAAAAUGAAUAUUUAUAAACUCUAGAUACAUAGAUUGUGUCUUAUUUAUUCUCUGCAGCCUUUCUCCCAAGGAGCUGGUAUCCUAUGUAUUUGUCCACAAUAUAGAGACUCAGUCUUAAUUUUUUUUUAUAUUUUCCAUAACCCCAGCAUUUACUCAUGAGUAUCAUACUAGCUUUUCAACUGGUAGAAUCCAUCUAAAAGCCUUUGCUAAAAUACCGAUAACUCUGUGUCUUCUUAGUUUUAGCACUGCUGUUGCAGUGAGGUCAGCAUAACAUUUUCUCUGUGGGUCACAGUUUGCUGACCAGUGUGGAAAUUUAUGAAUUGUUGAGAUUGUGAUGUCAGUUAGUAAUAAAUUCAAGCAAAUGUUCAAUUUUCAUUCUUUCAAUCAUAAAGAAAAUGCAGCUGAAAUGGUUGCAGUUUAUGAUACAGAAAGUUAGGCAGAACUAGUUAGAAGCAGUAAAAUGGUUAAAUCCAUAGGAAUGUAUUGGCUUUGUCUCUUGUCCAGUGGUUCUGGCUUCAUGGGUGAUCCUUUGCAGCAGCAGCCUCAAGCCUUCCAUUAUGGGCAUGUCAUGCAAUUUAUCACCCAGGUUUGUAGCUUUUUGUUUCAGUACAAUUGCUGACCCACUCUGGUCUUGCUUAAAUUUACUGACUGUUCCUUACAGCUGUUCCAAGUUUUCCGUGAGUCAUAAAAUAUUGCACAUAGGUCAGCUACUGUGAGAAAAUAGUUGAUGUUUGUUGGUGUUUGCCCUGAAAGCUCAGGCACGAGGUCUCUCAGGGCCUUGGCCAUAUCCUUCAUGCUGAGUCUGGGGGGUCAGAGCCAGUUCAGCCACGGACCCCGUGGCUCCUGGGUUUGCCUCCCAUCCGCUGCAAGGUCUGAAGCACUGAACCCCUCUCGGGCACACACGUGUGAGCUGUAGCAUGGGAAAUGAGCGUCAGCUUGUGUGCAAGUGGUUUUGGAUAUGCGCAGAGAAUUCCUGAGCAGUUACUCGUACUGAGGAGGGCACUUGGAGUCAGACCUGUUUUGUCCCCUCAACUCCUGUUUGGCUGUUUGCUGAAGCACUGAACAGCAGUGUUACUCAGCGUGUGGUCUGUGCAUGUCUGGCAGUCCAUAAAACUUCAAAGAUGUUGUGAGAGGACUUCACAUUUCAAAACCUGAAACACUCCAGUCCAUGCUAAUGUUCUCAUACUUGCAAGUAAAUAAACAAAAAAAAAAAAAAAAAGUGAAGAAAUAAAAGUGGCAAGUGAUUAUUUGAUUUUUAGCCUUAAGUUUUAUUAGGUGAUAGAAAUUAGAGUCUUUGUGGCAGGACUGCAGAAUUUUUUUGAGCAGCCUGGCUUUUCCUUGGUGCUGCAGGAAUGAGGGUUGGUGGUGUGUGGAAGCCAGGGCAGCCCUGCGUGCUCUGUGCACUUCAAUUCCUUCACUCAAAAAGGAGAGCAGCAGACCUGGAUAAGAUUCAAAGAGUGUAACAAGGAGGAUCAAAGAAUUUUCCUGAGAAGAGCUUCGGCACAAGCAGUGACUCAGUGGGCUGCAGCUCUUUGUCCAGGAGUGGUGACUCACGGGAGACAGGGCUGAAAUCUGUAGACCUGAGUUACACAGAGAAGGUGAGUGAGGAGCAGCUGCUCACUGCUUCUUCUGCAGCAAGUUUAAGGUGUAGGUGAGAGGCUCAAAGCAAACAAAAGGCACGAGCUCUGGGGACAAGCCCUGGUGCAGCUGUGAAUCCCUUUGAAAAAUACAGUGGAAGCUGUAUAUUUAUGUAGGGUCAGAAAGCAAAAAUUCCAUGUUAUAUCCAGAGGCUUCUGACCCAGGACAUAGUUGAGCUGCAACUUACUUGAAUUCAGGAGAACUUUCUUGAGCUGUCCCUGCAUUUACCCUCCUUUGGUACGGGGUGAGAUGCUGCCCUGGCUGGGCUUUGCUCAGGCCUGGCACCUCUCCUCUCUCUGGGACCAUUUUGCUCUUCAGUGCUCUUGUACAUUAGGGGUCUCCUUGCUGUUCUGCUCCUGAUCAGCCACCUGCUUGUCUUCCCUCAGGAUCCUCUCCUUUCUUAGCUCCUUUCUGGCAGCCCAUACAUCCUCUGUUUGUCAGAGAUGAGGGAGGGCGGUGGCAGGGCACGUUCCUUGUCCUUGGAGGCUGAGGAGUGUUUUAGAGGAAAUUCAUUUUUUUCACAGAGAAGCAGCACACUGUAUAGAUGGCAAUAGGGCUCUGGCAGUGUUUGAAUUGCUUUGAUUUGCCUGCCCCUACGUGUGCCAAAAUUUAUUUGGAGAGAGGGAAAUACUAGUUACUUUAUGUGGCACAGCUGCUGGGUUGCUCUUACCUCUCUGCUGUGCCUUUCAGCAGCCCAUUACACCUACCUGUAGUCUCUGAUUUCUGUGCUAAGCAAGCUCUUUGAGCAACUGUGUUUUUAAACAGCCUGUACUAUGGAACUGACACUUAAAAGUAACUGCAAAUGUUGCAAAUAAUAAAUAAUAUUGUGGCUAUGCAAUUAUAAUAUGAUACUUAAUUCCUUACAAGGGUCAGCCUGAGAAUGUGCUGUGGCUGUGAUCCGAGUGGUUCAUUUUGCAGCUGCUGUGUCAUCAGGAGCUUUUGUGAUUAUGUUUACAGCAAAAGGAAACACAACCCUAGAACAAACCGGUGAUUAUUGUAUAUACUAAUUUAUGCCUUCUAUUUACAGUGUGCUGACUGCCAUUGAUCUGAGCCUUUCCAAACCUGUUGUUUUGGGCUGAGUUUUGCCUUUUUUGCUCGGAAUACCCUCAAGACCAUUCACAUGAACAAUAGUAUGUGCAACCAAAGCAGAAUUACCUCAGGCCUCUGAAGAGAGGUGCUGUGUAUCCCAUGUUCUGCAGUAGUCUAAGCUUUGUUUUUCAUCAUACUGAUCACUGCACGUCACAGGGAGGAGAUGGUGCUCAUUGAAAGAACUCACUCCUGCAGAAAAGAGAGAGGGUUUGUAUGACAGAAAAUAUAAGGGAGGCCAGAAGGGGUUUGAUGAUCUGGAGUCACAACUCCUGAACCCAGCAGAGAUCCCACUGAGCUGGGCUCGCAGCACAGCCUCAGCUCAGCACCACGGGGAGAACAGGGGCAAAGUCAGGGUGCUGGAGCAAGUCCCUGACUUCAGUCUCUGCUGCAGGUCUGUCAGAGUAAGUGCAGCAAUUGUGGCUGGAGCAGGGCCUUUCAGGGGCUAUUUUGGGAUUGAACCUAUGUUUCUCUAUGUAGAAGUUUUGUUUCAUCCCCAUAAAUUCAUAAAGAAGCUUUUGAGGGCUGGCCUGUUGCAUUUGUGUGGCAAGAAAGGAUAAUGGGACCUGUCAAAAAAGGCAUUGUUGCCUCCUCGAAAUGGUCGUUGCUGCUCAGCAGAGGCUCAGCAAGAUAAAAGCAGCCUUAGCAAAUCAAAGAUCUGCAGGGAACAUGUCUGCAAACACAGUCAUAAAAUUUGCUGUAAUGGUUCUUGGAAAACAUGCUUGUCUGUUUUCUCUUACUUUUCACCUGACAUUGGCUCUCACAGCAGCUGAGAGGUGGCAAAAUUUCAUCUGUCUUGAAAAUUAGAAUGUGCUUUGCUGUGACUUGCAAUUGAUCCGAUUAGCUAAGUACGUUUGGGGUUUGUAAUUAAAUUUGAAAAGCUGUGUUGCUCAGCGAAUGGUAUUGCUCCUAUAAUUAUGGACUGUGGAAGUCGCCUCUUCUGCAUAAGCAUAAAAUCUGCAUGAGUCCAAAAGUGGCUGGACUCACAUUUCCAUGAAUAACCCGGGCAGAUGAUUUCAUUGCCUUAGACAGAAUUAGCCUAGGUUUCACUGAUGUGCUCCCAUCUAACAUAAGAAUAUAAUAUUUAUUAUGCUAAGCCUAAAUCACCCAGGCCGUACACAACUGUCUUGCAGUACAUCAUAAACACGAUGCAGCAAUUCAACAUCCUCAUCAAAAUCAUUUGCUUAAAUCUGGCAGUGCCUUGUGAACAAAGUAGGAAUUAACCAGCAUUUGUAUACUGAGUGCAUGAUCUAAAGUAUAGAGGGUUCAGGAUCAGUUAUGUGGGAGCAUGAGUAACUGCCCUACUGAUUUCAAAGCUACAGCAUUUUGGACACAGUAGGUUCCACUUUUACCUUGCAUGCUAGGUUUUAAUUGUAAAUAAUCAGAUACGUUUUUGUGACUGUUCUAGUGAAAUGUUAGAGAUAAAAUUAUCACAAGAUGAUUGUGUUUAGUUUUUUAUUGUUAUAUAGCUACAAUGGUUUUCCUGGUUCUGGUGUCUUUUCUGAGUGAUGAUCAGGACUACUUAGGUGCUUCAUCUUAGCUAACAGCAGCACCACAUCCAAGCAAAAUUAAGAGAUCAUGGUAAAAUGCCAGUUUCUGCUUUACAGCACUUUGAAAGGGAAAUUUUAGUUGAAGAUGAGUGUACAGAGUUGGGAUUCUACUUUCCAAACAAGUAAUGUUAGAAACAAAAUAUUUAAAUCCUUUUACUUGAGUGUAUUUCUUUACAUGGCAGAAAUGUAUUGGUAACACAAUGAAAACUGUAGUAAUAAUAACAGCAAGUAUGAGAAAUGAUAGAUUAUGUGUAGCAGCAAGCUUGAGAAUCUUGCCUUUAUUUUCUUUGCAGAUGUUCUUUUGGGAGUGGAUGUGGAGACCUAUCUGCUGGUUGUUGUUUUGAGGGGAGCCUUUUGUUGCUGGAGGGCCUGGGGCUUGAGCAAAGAGGCAAGGGAAGGAAAAACACAGGUUCCCUAUUUUGUGAUCAAACUGUCACUAAGUCCUUUGAAUUCAGCCAGCUCAAACCAGUGUGAGAUCAGGUGCAACAUGUAAAUAGUUCUGCCUGUGAUGUGAUCCUCAAACCCUGCCUUUAUUGCAGAAUCUGUCUGAUUUUAACUGUAUGCAAGAACUCAGUGAAUCAGAUUGUUACAUUGCUGGUGACUUGAGGAGAAGUCACUCAUUUCUGGGGCAGGGAUACCUGAGAGCCAGAGGUAAAAUCCUCUCAUGAAGUCCAUGGGGACUUCUGGCCAGAUAUUGCUUCUUGUUGGAUGUGACAUUCAUAGGCUACCAUUGUCUUUAGGAUUUGCUCCGUUUAUCCAGCCAAGAUCUGAAAAUUCAAUUCUAGCUGGACCAAAACCAUAGCUCCUAUUUAUCUGCUAGAGAACUGCUGAUUCCCUACUAAACUGUAUUCAUGGGGCUUAUAAAUUAUGUGUCCAGAAUCUGUGAAAUCUGUAAAUACUGUGAGAUCUGAUAAAUACUGAUAGAUAAGUACAGACUGCAGUUUUACAUCAGUAUGACUUUGUGACAGUGUUUGGUGAAAUUGCUCCAUAUUUAAAUCAGAAAAAAUCAUAUGAGAAGCUCAAUGACUGUGUGUGAAGUGGCUUGGAAUUAAUUUCCUGCUGUAUGUUUUUUCCUUAGAUUUUCAGAAUUUUAAAUAUGGUUUUUCUUACCCAAAAUAAAAACACGCUACAUAUUUUUUUGUAUUAUUACUUCUGGAGAAAAAAUAACAUUUCAAAGUUAUCAUGAGCCUUGUGUUUUUAGGCUUAUUUAGUACAUAGCUUUAUGUAGUUUAUUCUUAAUUAAUAGUGAGUUCUGUUGUGUUUGAGAUCUAAGAGCAGUGUUUGAAUUCCAUGUUUGCGGAAUGGGCUCUGACAUAAAAUUUCUCCCUUUUAUCAUUAGUGGAAUUGAUUGAUGUCUUUGCUUAGCAGAAAGAUUGCCAUGUGGAUACAAAGACAGCACGUUUCUUGCUCUGCUUGAAGUGCAUGUCAUGCCAUUUUGCUUUUAAGCACAGAAGAGAUGAAAUGGGAAAGCCCCUGCAUCCCUCACCUCGGGCUGAGCACUGCAGAGGUGCUCUCCUUGUGUUCCUCUGGCACAUGACUCGCCAGGAGCUUUUAUACAGACCCAGCAUCAGAGUUUCCUCCAGCCUGGUGAGAUUUACUGAGUCAGAACCAGAAAGACUGAGAUAAAUCACGCUGUAAAAGAAAUCAAAGGGACGCACUGAGCGGCGUAUCGGUUUCAGUCUGCAAAGAUUGACUUUGUUUACUCUGCUUCUGUGGAAACCACAACGCAGGGGCUGUUACAGCGGAAGUUAAUGAAGAUAAUUCCUAGAUGGGGAAUAAAAAAAAAGCCACUUUGUGAAGAGGAAAAUCUGUUUCAGUGUGCAGGGAGGGGAGACGUUCCGGCAGCUGUGCGAGCUGGUGGCAGAGGAUGAACCAGCCCCGCUUCUGCAAUGUCUCAGCAGCUCCACGGCUGGCAGAGAACGAUGUUAACAAUCCUGACAUCCAGUUUGCUGUCCUGCUGCCAGUACAUCCUGCAGUUGGACAUGCAGCCACUGGAAUUAUGCAUCGUGGGUCCCGUGCCGUCUGGCGGGAACAAUCGCGGCGCUUGUUCCGCGGCCAGCACGCGGUCAGAGGGGCUGUGUGUCUGUCUGUCCUGCUGUCAGACAGCAGUGUCUGUCAGCACAGUCAGAGGGGCUGUGUGUCUGUCUGUCCUGCUGUCAGACAGCAGUGUCUGUCAGCACAGUCAGAGGGGCUGUGUGUCUGUCUGUCCCGCUGUCAGACAGCAGUCUGUCAGCACUGUCAGAGGGGCUGUGUGUCUGUCUGUCCCGCUGUCGGACAGCAGUGUCUGUCAGCACUGUCAGAGGGGCUGUGUGUCUGUCUGUCCCGCUGUCAGACAGCAGUCUGUCAGCACUGUCAGAGGGGCUGUGUGUCUGUCCCGCUGUCAGACAGCAGUGUCUGUCAGCACUGUCAGAGGGGCUGUGUGUCUGUCUGUCCCGCUGUCAGACAGCAGUGUCUGUCAGCACUGUCAGAGGGGCUGUGUGUCUGUCUGUCCUGCUGUCAGACAGCAGAGUCUGUCAGCACUAUCAGCUGUCCCUCUGUCCUCCCUGCACUUCAGUUUGUCCUUGCUGUCUGAGUGUUACCAGGGUCAGUGGGGCUGUGUGUCCCUCUGUCCUCUGCACUUCAGUUUGUACAUGCACACAGAAGAUGAUGCCAUCAAUUAGCUCCUUGUGUUCCAAACAGGGCCCAGCUUUCCAGAAGAGCUGCGAGGGUGUGUCUGAGAGCCAGACAAGCUGGAGGUUUCUCUUGGGCAGCUCGUGGGCUGGUUUCAAGUUACUCCAUAUUUCAUUGUCUCCUGAUUGCUGGAGCUGGGUUUCAAAUGGUUGUGCUGGUUCUCCGUGCUUCUUAAAGGCACAGGUUGCCUCCCCAGCCUGCACAAGGAAGCACACGUUCUCUGUGUCCUCCUCAAAGCCGGGGAAUGGUUUCACCCGAGGGUGUGUACAGGGAGCCAAAAACGUCUUGUUACUGACACACAGUGAAUAGGUAGAGGGGCUGGGCAAGGGAAAAUCUAUUGGCUAUGUGUCUUGGAUGAAAAGGUUUAUUUUCUCUGGGUUAUUCUUCAGAAAAUUCACUGUAACAUUACUCUAAUGAGUUCUUUCUCUUACUUAUUUUUGCAAUUAAUGUGGGCCAAUUCAGUAGGAUGUUUUGUGUUCCCUCUGUUUUCUGGUCUGGCACUGGUGGUGUGUCUGCCUGCUCUGGACCUGCUCUCCUGUGGUGUGGAGCAUAUCCCCCAUGUUGUGCUGAAUGCAUUUCAAGAGAAAGGUCUUCUUGACAAAUGUAUUGCACAAAUCAGACAAAGCUGCCCUGAGUUAGACACUGACAAUAGAUUAUCUGGGCCAACCUUGAAACAGGGAAAUCCAUUUUGAUUUUAUUUUAUUUUUUUCAUUAUUUCAUUUGACUUGGCACCAUUCUUUUCCUGUGAAAAGGCUGAGAAAUGAGAAAUAUCUCCUACUUCAUCUGCAGCACCUAAUGUAAAGAUUUAAGAGGGCUUGCUGUUUCUUGAAGUUCAAGCACUCUUUAUUUUGGCUUGUAUCAGUGAAGGCUGCUACUGUUAUUUAAAAACAGCAGCUAGAGAGUUGCUGGUAAUGACUUUCUGUCACAGUGAAUUCACAGGCUGACCAUAUGCUGGGCAAGGGGUCAUUUCCCUGCUUUGUGUUUAGAGUGCUUUGGGGUCCUUUGGAUGAAGAUGCUUCAGACAGAUGAACCAUUUUCCCAAUGUUGUAUGUAUUGUUAUCUCCGCAAUUAAAGAACAAAGUAUAUUAAAAGGAAUGUCUCUAUGCCAAGCAAUUGUGAAAGAGGAGCUUCACCUACCUCUUCACUUGUCUAUGCCCGUGAGGGGUAGUCCAAACACUGAAGACAAUUCAAAGAAUUCCUAUGCCAGCCCAACACAGAGAGAAAUGUAUUCAUGUUUGAUGCUUAGGUGCCUUCUUCAGGCAUUUUUCAGAAGUGUUUUGUUAAGUUUUCUCUUUCUAAUUAACCAUCAGGCCUUUCUUUUUGUUUUCCUAAUAAAUAUUGCUGUAGUUUUGUAGCAUGAGAAAUGGUUCAUGUUUUUGAUCUGUUUGAAAUAAUUGACUUAAAGCUCUGGGUGAGCACCAUGGAAAUAGCUUUCCCUGAGAUCACAUGUUUUUUCCCCAGGUACAAUAGCAUUACUUGCCAGUUUUCUGCUUCCAGAUCCCAGAGAUUUUACUCUGCCCUGUCUAAGGUGUCGUUUUAAGGGUGUGCCUCCCUCGCUCAAAAUAAGGUGUAUUUUUCAAACCCUGAUUGUCAGGGCGGCUGGAGGUGCCUUUUUGUAAACCAGUAUUAAGAUGUAGCAGUUAAUUUUUACACCUUUGUGUUAAAAGUAAAGAAUACGAUGCCAAUGCUUUAGCUCCUGCUACAGGCAUCCUUAAACCCAGCAGUGAUAAAUGAAAUCAAUUUGUGUGAGGUGGCUUUUUCUUUUUCUUUAAUUGGUAAAGGAUCACUUGAUGAUCCAAAUGUUCUCCUGCGUGAAACAGAAUAAAUGUGAAGUUGUAGCAAGGGUGUCAAGCUGCAUUCCUGGUGAGACUUUUCUAAAGCAAUCAAGGUUUCUUCUGCUUCUUGCACUAAUCGUUAAUAGCUAUGCUGUUGUCACAGCUCAAAAACUUUCCUAUUGACACUUCAAUCAUUUUUAAAGAUCCUGAAUGUUCAGCAUGUAUUAAAGUAACCUUUUGCACUCUAUUGAAAUUUAAGAACUGCUAGAUUUUUAGUGAAUGCCCAAGCAACUGGAUCAUGAAAGCAUUACCUCGUGCCAAGGGCAUGAUGCAGAGCACUGAUUCCUUUUUAACAAAUAAUAAGAAGUUUGGCUUUUCAUUUACACAUUCUGCCAAUUGCUAACAAGUUUCCAUCUUGUUCAAACACUGAAUUGAUCCCAAGAAAUUGAAAAUAUUGAUUUAACCCUCUGCCUGGUUUGUGCUGUGGGCACCUGCUAGUACAGUCUUAGCACAUUACAAUUGCUUGGCCGUAAUUCCUCAGGGGACCACUAAUAACUACCACAUUUGUCUUUUCAUCUUCUGAAAUUAUGCUAGCAGUUGUCCAAGUCAAUUGUGAUUCAUUUGAUACUGCUCUCCUUCAAGACAUAUUGCAACCAAAUAGACUUGCUCACCAGUAAUAUAUCUGAUGACAUAGUUAGUUCUAGUUAAUUGACAGAAUGAUUCAGGCUUUUAUGGAUGGCAUUAAUUGGUCCCUGGUGUCCAUGCAAUAAUUGACCAGACAUUGUAGGCUACAUUAGCCUCUCAUCCAGUCAGAACAGUGGUAAGAUGAGGUAAAUGUGGUACAAAUGAUAAAAUGGCUAUAUUUUAAAUCAAACAUUUAUAAACUAUAGAAGUGGGAGAUUGUGGCAUCAGGAGGGUCUGAAUAAUGAGAAUACAUAAAUGUCCACAUUCGAAGGUUGUGUUUUCUUUUUUUUCCCUCCCCACCCAAUUAACACAUGUGGUAAGUCACAUUUAGAUGCCUUAAUGGACUCUGCUUGAAUUGUGGUUUAAUGUGUAAAGCAAAGUAGGUGGAAGGGCUGCUCGUGGUAUUUCAGCUUCUCUCUGCUGAUAUGGUACAAUUUUAAGCCUGGUGUUAAGUGUUCGAAGGAAGUUAAAGGUUGCAUUUACAGAAAGCUCUUAUUUUAUUUUAUUCUCCCCUCCCAGAAAAGGAGAUAACUUGUGGGAUUAUUUUUACAUAUUCCAGGUGUCCAAGAAAUGCAAAGCCUGUGCUCAAAUAAAAAGUGUAAUUUGUUUGAAAAAGUGAGAUAAACAAGAAAAGUGAUGUCAAAACAAUACUAGCUAGCCACAGCUCUUCUUGGAGAGUAAUAAUUCAGUGAUUUAUCACCUACUUUUCUAACUCUCUGUUUUGUGUAAGAAAACCAUAAAGAUAAGCAGGGAGGGUCUGCUGGGUGUGGCUCAGGUUUAGAAGAGUGUAACAGAAAAGAGACAGAGUCAGGGAAUGUUUUGAGUUGAAGGGGACCCGAAGGAUGGUGCAGUUGAACUCCCUGCUCAUCACAGGAUGACCCAAACUGAACCCCAUGAGCUGAAGCAAAGAACAGUGCUGGUGUCAUGGGGGGUUCUCUUUGGACUGGGGCAGGGAUAUUUGUCUAUCACACAGUUCAUGGUGCACCUAUCACCUGGAGCUCUGUUUACAGGUUUUCAGGUCAUACAGAAAGAAAAUAUCAAACAUACAUCUAGUGGGGGGAAAAAAAGAAUUGGCCAAAGGUUCCUCCUAUCAGUAUAUUUUCUGUUCUGUCAGUAUAUUGCCAAUUUAGUUUUUAGUGUCGUAACAUGGGACGUCCUUUGGAGCAUGUUUUAUAUCUGGAAGGUAUUUUCUUGCUUAAAGUUUAAACUUUGUUUCGUUAAGAUCAUUCCUCUGAGUAUAUUCUCACCAAAAAAAAAAAAAAAAUCAGUUCCUGUCUUUAUGCAACUCAGAUGUCUUUCGUGCCCCUGCAGACUGCAGCACUUUUCCCUGUGCCCACGAGGCAGCCCCUGUCCCCCUGUGCUGCUCUCCCAUCCCAUUUAUCAGCCCCUUUAUUACACCUGCAGUGGGUGUGUGAGUGCAGGGCCCUGCCAGAGCUGCCCCACAAACCUCCCCACACCCCCCUCCGGAUUACAGCUCUCUGGAACAUGGGAGAGGCACUUCCCUGGGGAUCUGUAGGGAAUGAGGAUGUCCAUAGCAGGUAGGCUGAGCUGCUCUGGGAAUAGUGUCUACCCAAAACGCAGAGAUUGCUGUAUUAGUAAAGAAUGCCAGCCACCAUCAGCUUGGGUCGCUUCAUUCACUGCUACGCCCCUUUUCACUGCCCUAUCCCUUUUGCUUAAAUCUUUCCAAAUUGCAAAGUUGUCACAACAUUGAUCACGCAUUCCUUCGGCGUCGCGCUCUUGGUGGGUACUGCCAAGAACAAACAAUAAAACCAGUCGUUGCCCUGCUUUAAUUUUUAUGAAUUGUUGAAUGUCCUGAGCUCCCACUGAUUUCAGCCUUCUAGUGGGAAUUGAGGGCAUUCAGGGAUUGCUGGGAAACUCGGCCUUUACACCAUGUACAUGCUGAUUGCAAUGUCUCCACUUCCUUGUAACUUCUUCACAAAUCAAUCUUUCCAAUCUGCUAGUAAUUUACUGCUCUCCCAGAUGCCUUCAGCAUGCUGGUAUGGUUUUUUUAUUUUUGGAAUUGAUACCUGCAUUUGUGCUGCAGGUUGAGUGGGUUGAUACAGGAAAAAUGGGAAAAUCUUGACUGAAGAAAGUCUUCUGGGAAUCGAUCCUUUUUCUUGUGAAAUGGGUCCAUUUCUCCGUUUUUACAGACUGAGCUCCAGUCAGAUGAGGCUGUUCCUAGAUGAAGUGGUGUAGUUUCUUUGUUCCUGAAAAAACCCUUGGGUGUUUAUACAUGAGGCCAGUCCUGCAUGGCUCAGUGGGUGUGUCUGCCUUGUUGGAUGUGAGCAUCCUUUGGAAGUGAAACUUCUCGGGCAGACAGGAGGUGUUGUAUUUCCCAUGGGUCACAUUAAGAUUAUGAUCCUUCCAAACACUGAUUUUGGGCAAAGGGAUGUUAUUUCUGGGUAAAGAGCCCUGCCCACAGGUUAGGUCAAAUUUAAUGUGAUCUGCUAUUGGAGGUAUUGGAUUUUAUGUUGCAGAAAGCAAUGCUGAACUUGCAGGCCAAUGAUUUCUACUGAGCCCAGUAUUGAAUGCUAGCCGGUUUUAUUUCACACAUUUUAGGAAAAAGACAAGACAUUUAUGUGAAAGAAAACAGAACUUUUAAAAACGUGUACUUUAUUUUAUGACAGCAGUGAAAAUUAACCUACAUCUAAAAUCAAGGUUUUCAUUUUACAUACACCUUAAGAUGUCACCGCUGACAACUUCAAUUUAUCUUUUCAAAUACUAAGGAAUGCAAUUGACUUUAAGGAGGCUUAAGAACAGGGAUUAAGUUUGCCUAAUUUAUAUAAUUUGCACUAGCUUAAAGCUUCUCAAAUUAGAAUAAGUUAUAACAGUUAAUGCAAUUUACUUGUUUAGCUUAAUGCAAUUUACUAAAUCCUAAAGCCAGGUAAAUAUUUAUUUAACCUCAAAAAUCAACAGUUUUACCAGCUGAAAUCUUUUCACCCAGAAAGUUUUUGACAUGGUAAAAUAUUAAUAAUUUCUACUUAAUCCCGUACUAUUUUAAACCCAAGUUUAGUAAAAUAUAUGGAGUGAGUAUGAACCAUCAGCUAUAUAAAAGAACAGAGGUAGGAAGUGGGACAGAAUUUUUUAUUUUUGCCCACUGCUGUUUUCAGCAUAAAGAGCUUUAUUGCAGGUUUCUGUUACCUCCUCCGUUCAAGCACAACCAUGAAACUGCAAGCUUAGAGGAGGAAAACUUCUUGAUCCACUUUGGUCCCUGCAGUUCUUUUCCUGUGGUCUUUACUGCUUACCACAGGGAUGGAGGAUCUAGAGGGCUGAGAUUAAUUUUCUGAGCCCACUGUUUGCAUUCACGUUCAAAUGCUAUGAGCAGCUGGGCUUCAGAUUCAAAUCUGAAUGCAGCAGUGAAACAAGACUCCCUUGCUUGGAUUUUUCUUUUGCCUACAGCUCCAAAGUGGUCCACAAGUGUGUGCUUGCCUCUUCCCCCCAGUCACUUCUGCAAAUCCCUUACUAAACAUUAACUGGAGAGGUGAUGUUCAUUAGGAAACACCUUUAGAGACUUCUUGAAAACAGGCAGGCAGAUGGGGGAGAAACCCAACAAGGAGUUGACCCAGAGGUCUUCUGUUGGGGGUCUUGCUUAAGAAUAUACAGAAAGAAAACUGACUGAGAUCCAGUUUCUGUGGAGAUUCACUUCCUCAGGUGCACGAGUCAAAGUAUUUCCAGCGCUCGGAGAAUCAGCAAAUAAUUCAGGCAUAAAAGUUUGUGGUCUAAUUUUAUAGUUGCUAAGAAUAUUUAGCUCAUGUUCACUCUUGAAUGAGCUUACUUAUGCACACAGAGAUGUCUGUCAUCUUCACUUACUGUUUUUUUAUUCUGGAGAAUAAAAAAGAGCCUUUUGUCCAGGUAAGAAUGGGACAAGAUGCAAACAAAAGCCUGCUGGAAUGGCAGAUGUUACAAUAGAAAAUAAAUGCUAGAUCUGAGUUACUGAAUUUUAAAAUAUUUUAUAAAUUGGCUUACAUUUUAAUUGAAGUCUUUUAUUAAUCUAGUGGAAAUGAAAAGAUGAAGGAGAAGCCAGGGUGAUUGUUUCAAAAGCACUGUAAUGCACUUUUGUUUUCAAUCUGUGAACUUGUUUUUCUAACAAGGUUGGAGUAUCAAGCACUGACAGGUGCAGAAGACAGUCUGGAAGAGUUUCUUUCUGUAUGAGAGAGUGCCAUGAAGUCUCAGGCAGAUCAGCCUGAGAUUCACCCAGUGUAGGUUUGAAAAGGGAUUUGUCCAUGUUGGAUUGCCCUAAGUUUCUGGAAAUAAUUGCCUUGGCUGUUUCUGUUCCAUCAAACGUGCACACUCUGCACUGGAGCCUUCAGCUAUUUGCAGCAGUUGCUGUUGCAGAAAUUCAGUUUUUCUGCAGUAUUAAUGUGGAGUGUGGCAGUUCCUGAGGGAACUCUCUUUUUGUUACUCAGAUCUAUAUUUCUUUCAGAAAAUGCUAUGUUACAACUUCAAGCCAAACAUCUGAUGUGAUCAGUGUGGCUUCAGGGACUUGUUUACUGUUUCUAAGAGUGUCCUUUUGAUAGCUGAGGCUUACGUUGUAAAUACCCUCUUUGGGAGGACCACAAGAAAGGACUGUGCAGGCAUGGGAGAUAUUUCUGGCAGUGCUGGACAGAAGGUUGUGUCAUAAAAAGGCUUCCAAUCAGUCUGGUUGGCACUGGCACGGGGCUGCUCUGCUGAGCCUGUGCCAGAAACAGGUGCCACUUGGUGCCCAUGGUCCUGUGGGAGAGGGGGAGUUCUCCAGCUGGAGUGAGGGACUCCAGCAUGCCCUCUUUCCUUAACUUUGGUUCAUUCUUUAGCACACACAUUUCUUUCUAACUUUUUUCAUUCAUUGUUUUGAGCAAAACCGUUCAAAGCUGUGCUCCUCUCUUGUUGCUGGUGUGAUCCCAGAUGUGACAGAAGGGUCAGCUCUGCUUUGAAUUCAAUAUCUCCUGUUUAGUUUUCAUUUUCAGCAAAAGAUUCAAGUUAACAUCAGGUAAAAAACCACCUGCUUUGAGGAAGAAAUCAGUGGGGACUAUAUGACAUCAGCCUUCUGAUAUUUCCCCCUGUAUCCUCUUUUCAGCACCAUUGUGCUGGACCUUUGCAUGAAUUCUGUGGUUCCUUUUUAAAAAACAAUUCCAGUUGGCAGCAAAACGUCACUGACAAUAUUUUCUACCUUUAAUUCUCCUACCAUUCUGCUAGUAAGAGCUGGAAAGGUGAUUGAUUGCAAGGCAUGUGUUUGCACCCAUUCCCCCUUGAAAGCCCCAUGCUUGUGUGCAGCAGUCCCAGAAGCCCUGAGAGAGGUCGUUCUGUCUGGGCUUGCAGAAGCCUUUGAAAGUCCUUUUGGCACGGGAUUCCCUUCUCUGCAGGUGUGAGGGUGGUCUCCUGUGCAGGCAGCUGUCCCAGCUGCCCACUGGUGUCCGUACAAUGGGACAGCUUCCUCAGCUGCCUGCUGGUGUGGCAAGUUCAGUUUAUAGGUACAGGAGAAACUUGGUUAGGAGAAAAAACUUGGAAACUUGGUUAGGAGAAACUUGAACAUGUUUUUCCUUUUAUCUUCUUGUGGUGGGUUGAACCUUGUGGGAUUCCAGGCACCUACCAAAGUCUAUCACCCACCUCUGCAGCUGGACAGCGGAGACAAAAUAUCCCAAAGGGUUAAUGAGUUGACAUAAGGACUGGGAGGGAUUGCUCACCAAUUUCUGUCAUGGGCAAAACAGGCUCUAGUUAGAGACAUUAAUUGAAUUUAUUGCUAACAAAACCAGAGCAGAAUACUGAGAAGUAAAAUAAGAUCUUAAAAACACUUUCCCCACAUCCCUCCCUCCUUCCUUCCUAGCUCUGCCUCCUCCCCCAGAGGGGCAGGGAGAUGGGGAAUGGGAGUUGUGGUCAUUUCAUCACACGGUGUUUCUGCAGCUGCUCAGGGAGAAGAGUUCUUCCCCUGCUCCAGCAUGGACUCCUUCCCACAGGAGACAGUUCUCCAGGAACUUCUCCAAGCUAAGUGCAUCUCACAGCCAACAGUUCUCCCCAGAAUGACCCAAUGUGGGCUGCAGGGGCUCAGCUGCCUCCCCAGGGCUGCAGGGGAGUCUCAGCGCCAGCACCUGGAGCCCCUCCUGCCCCUCCUACGCUGACCUGGCUGUCUGCAGGGCUGCUCCUCUCACACACCUCACUCUGCUCUUGUCUGACUGCACUUACAUCAGUGCAAUAACUUACUUUUUUUUUUUUCUUCUUAAAUCCGUUAUCACAGAGGUGUUGCCACCAUUUCUUGGCCCAGCCUUGGCCAGAGGUGUGUCCAUCUCACAGGUGGCUGGCACUGGCACUGCUGGACUCAAGGAACCUGCUGGCAGCUCCUCACAGCAGCCACCCCUGCAGCCCCCACACUGCCAAAGCCUGGCCACGCGAGCCCAGUGCACUUCUGUGUUCCUCCUAAAUGUUUCCAUGUUCAUAACUGCUCUGAGCAAUGUUGUAGCAGCAUUUCUUCCCCUCCUUUGCCUGACUUUCAGCAAGCGAAAUGUUGGUGUUUGGCAGAGCCAGGUUUCCCUCUGACAGAGUGCCUCUCACUCUGGGUGCAGCCCAAAGUACUGCUGUCAGCAUCAGUGUGAUCAGCACUGGGCCCCUGGCAGUGCUGCACUGCCCUCUCCCAUCUGGCUUGGAAAGAAAGGAAAGGAGAAGAAAAACCCCCAAAUCUCUGAAGUCCAGGAAGGAGGGCCACACAUGUUUUAGUGACAGACACUUUUUAAAGCUUGUUUGCGUUUGGGUGAUAAUGUACUUUAGUAUGGUAGGGGAAAUGAGAAACUUCACACAUGGCAUCUGGAAAUCCUUGUGGCUCACUACCCUCCUUGACAGCAAUAAUGUGGCUGUAAAUUUCCCCCAGCAGAAAACAUAUAACUGCAUCAGCUGUACUAGAAACAGCCUUUCAUUUUCUUUUAAAUGGAUGUGUUGUUUUAAAUCUCAGCUUUUUAAUAGCUUCGUAUAAACAUUUGUGAGCCUCUGAGGUAAGUAAGUAUAUUUGUACUUCUUGUUCUUAUGUCAUAGACUCACCGAAUCAAUUAGGUUAGAAAAGAUCCCUAAGGUCAUUGGGUCCAGCUGUUAAGCUAACACUACCAUGUCCACCAGUCCUUAUGGAAAAUCUGUCUAUAGCUCAAUUUAGUGUCUGGAGAGGUGAGUCCUGCCGUAUUCACACGCAUCUCACAAAGAUGAAAGGGGUGUCGCUCUUGCAAGCACUCUUGAUAAGUCUCUGCAGCGCUAAUUUAUUGUCUUUGUGCACGUGUGAUAGCUAAGCCUGAUGUCAGAUGGAGUUCCUUUGGCUGACCCGAUGCCCAUUUCUUUGUCUUUUGGUAGCAAGAACCUCGUGUGUGCUAAAGUGCUGAUACUGGUGUCAUAGCCGGGUUUGGAUGGAUUUGCCAGCUGCCUCAGAGAAAAUGCCUUUACAACCAAGACAUAUAAAGUUUAAAAUAUAGUGCAGUGCUUUAAAGUUUGUAAAACUAAGAAAUUUGGUGCUCUGUGGAGUUGGCAGAAGUUUAGGUACAGUGUAGUAGAAGUUUAGGUACAGUGUAGUAGUCUGUACACUGCCUGUGUUUUGGCAAUAUUUGGCUGGAUCCAAACAAGAGUAUUUAACGCUUUGAAACCCUUUUUCGUUUGUUGGUCUCAGCUGUAAUGAAGCUCAGGGCCUUUUCCCCCCUUGAAACUCUUCUCCAUGUGUCAAGAUGCAUCCAGCCGGCCUCUGGCCAAGGUAGAAGUCAGAUGCAGGAGUCUUGGUCAGGACUUUGCCCAGCAGACAGUAACACCCCUAAAACUUGCUGUGGUGUGGAGGCUGCACACUAUGGGGCAGGCAGAAGGGACGUGCUCUUCCAAGCUGAGCCCAUGAGGAAUGGAGGGUUAUCCUGGAAAGGGCCAGGAAGAGGGAAGGACUGGUGUUACUUGUCCUUACUGUUGAAGAAGGGCUGGGGGAGGAGAAUGAGCGAGAGAGAUCGUAGGAGAGACAGCUUAUUGAAAGAGGGGAGGGAAGAAUGCAUAAAGUGCCAACAAUUAGAAGAAAAAUGAAAUCAUUUUAUGCACCGGAGAUUACUGAUUACCAUAUCAGCAGGUUAGACUAAACAGAUGCUAAAGUCUUAUGAGCAAACUGGGAGCUUGGUAGGGGCAGAAAUCUCUAAGCUACAUUAAUAAAUGUUGACUUCAGUUCCAGAUGUGUGUGCGUAUUUAAACAUUGCUCCUCUGCUGUGUGAAGCUGCCCUGCUCGUGGCUCCUGCCAGUGUGUCUGGAGGUGCCAGCAGUGGGGCUGUGCUGGGACAUGUGCCCCCAUCGUGGUCCUAAUCCUAAUCCUCAGCCCUGAGCUCCUGGAAGUGUUCAAAAGGCACGUGGAUGUGGCACCUGGGGACGAGGUUUGGUGGAGAGCACGGCAGCGCUGGGGUAACGGACUCAGGGGUCUCAGAGAUCUUUUCCAGCCCUAAUGAAUCUGUGAGUCUGUGAUGGAGCUGAGAAGCAAAGUCCUUCUGCUCCUUGUGAAAUGUCCAUUGUUGCUGUCAGGAUUAGGAACCACGGGUGUGGGGGCUGCUCCAUAGGAUAACCACGGGCGUGGGUGGAGGGCAGGCAGCUUUCAUGCGCCUUUUUCAGCACCAUAUGUAGAGAGCUAACGUCUGCAACAGGCAAAACUGUGAGGGGGGCACAGGCACUCGGCACAGCUGCAGCUGGAAGCCCAGUCUCCUCUUCCAGCCCCGUGUCCAUGGCACAAAAACAACCCGUAAAGUUUCUCUCCCACUGCAUCAGGCCUAAAGAAAGUGGGAUUAAGAAUUACGCGUGGAGCUGUGUUUGCACUUCAUUACUCAUUUAUCCAAAACAAACAAAGAAAAGGUUUCCAAAUGUACAUGUUUUGAAUAAGUGUUAUGUGAAGUAAAGCCAUGAGCUGAGAAGCAAAAGAAAGCAGUGAUUUACCAUAGAAACAAAUAAUGGUAAAAAGAUUAUAAAUGACUGUGAUUUUCUUUCUGUUCUCUGGCAUGUCCAACCCCUUAAAUUAUUUUUCUUUAAAGAGCCCUCCCAUCAACCAAAGCAACCUAUUUAACUAAAAAAAAUGUAACAAAGAUUACAAAUAUUAGGGUUCUAAAACAUGUGGUGGCUACACAAAGCAAAAUUUUAUUAUGAUUCUCCAAGAUAACCCUGCAUAUUUUGAAAGGCAUGAAUGGGGGUUUUCAGUGCUAAUGAAAUCAGCAGCAUGGUAUUUACCCUGCUUGGGAUGUACAGUGGGGUGCCGAAGCCUGGGGCAGAGGGGCAGGGAGAGCCAGGCAGGCAUUUUUGUCUCUGACAAAUGGGUAGCUUAUGAGGAACACUUCCAAAUUUCAACAAAAUGCAUUAUGGUGCAGUAGUAUUUGAUUACUCAGCUUUUCAUUAUUGUAUCUCUUAGCUGAACUUCAAAAUAAGCAGUGGUGUCUUCUGUUCUUCAACAGCUUGUGGUGUUCUGAUACCGGAGUUUAUGAUGACAUUAAGGUUUCUUUUUCUCUCCCUGGACUGGUGUCUUGGGAGUCCUUCAGAAGUGCAGCAAUGUUGAUCUCCUCCACUUUAGCUCAAACAACAGUGACCCAGUUGGGUUCUGCAGGAAGGCAGGAAUGGGCAGCUGAUCCAAUGGAGAGGACCUAUGGACAGGUCUUUCUUUAGGCUGGAAAAAAAGAGUUAAAGGAGUCUCAAUUUUAAACAUCUUUUGAGACUGAGUUUGCAAGAAAUGACUUACCCUGUAACUCAAGUAUGUUGUAGGUCUCUCUUGUGGGUUCGUAAUUGGUGCAAAAUGUUUAUUGUACUGUAGCUAGAAUGACACUGUUAGCUAUAAAAUCUCCACAAAAUGCUACUUUGUGCCUGUGAAAUAACUUGGAAACCAAGGUUGGUGUUGGAUGUAUCCCAAGCUCUUUCAUAUGCCGUUUCUCCACUUGGCCCAUCUGGUGUCAGAAGCUGUCAUCUAACAGAAACCAAGGCCAAGUACCCUGGACAUAAUGAAAAUUUAAAUACCUCUUUGCACCUGCUGUGAAAAUAAAGCAUCUUAACUGCGUGAGACACAGACACCACAUAAGUCGUAAGCUAAACAAACAGUUUUUGCAAAGGGUUGCAUGAAAUCCCAGUGCAGAGCUGAAAAUGAAGGUAGCUCAGCAGGUGUUCUCUUGCCUGUGGAUGCCAUGGAGCUGUGUGGCUGCAGCUCUGGCACUGCCCUGUUUUAGACAACCUCUGGAUGUGGCCAGAGCCCCAUCACUGAGCCAGAGAAGUGACCCGCUCUCUUAAAAUCUCCUUACAGCGAGUGCUGAGCUGAGAAACCGUGCCACAGCUGUUCCUGUUGGUUCCUGCUGCCUCUGAAGAAGUGUGCCUCCUUGGUGCCUCGGCUUGGCAGUCUGUUGGUGCUGUGUGCUGGAAUAUGUCACUGCUGCGGCUGCAGCUCACUGCUACAGCAGGCAGAGCUCAGCAGCGGAUUUGGCACUACUCAGAUGUGUGUUUUAGAAAGCGCUGGAUUUUCUGGAGGCUCCUGGCUCUGAGAGCCUUGCAAGGAGCAGGACCUCCAUAGCUCUGGUCUGACCGACAGACAGACAGACAGAUCUUGGUUGCUCUCAGAUGGUCGAUGGAUGUUUCUGCAGUUCUGCAUCCGCUUGCCCGCCUGCGUGCGCCCGUUCGUCCGCACGGGUUUCUCUCGUGGAUAUGUUGUAUGAACAAUAAAAUGCUGUUCUGUCAGGCCAGCCCUUCAUUAGGCCACCUUGUGCAGCCAUCUCUGAGUCUUUUAGGUACCAUCACUGUGUGCAGUAUGAAUCUGGUCAAAAGGAAUUUUUGUGAUGCAGUGAUUCAAGCAUCUGCCUUUUACAGUUCCUGAGUCACAGCCUCGUAACUCAGGACCUCACUGAAGCAUCAAUAUACAAUUUAAUGUGAUUUUUUGGUCUUUUUUAUUAUCUCUCCCUGAACUCAAACCACUUUUUUUGGGGGUAUAUGCAGCUUAGAAACAUGUAAGCAUUAAGGAAUACAUAGAAUUUAAAGUGGUUAGAACACUGUGGUUGUGUAAUGCUCUAGUAAUAAACACGGGGUGAAAAGGAUACUGUUGUGAUAGUUAAAGUGUCCUUCUUAACGAAUAAACAAUAGGAAGCAAACCAGCACCCAGAAUUUCUUCUCUGCAAACAAGCGUUACUUAAACAGUCGUAAUUCCUUUAAAAAUGAACUUCAUUUUGCCUAUGAGAACAAACAGAACUGAAGCCACCUACUGAGAAAUUCUAUUUUGCUAAUUUUUAUCUAUUCGAAUGCAAAUAGUGGUUUUAAUCCCCUUAACUCAUCCAUCAUGCAUGACAGGUCAGCCAGCCCAUUGUCUGUGUGUUUGAAGGAUUCCUGUCCAAAUCAGACUUUCUGCUGGGCAAGAGUCUGCUCCUUUCUUGAGCUGCUCCUGUCCCCGAGAAAUCUGAAUGUCCCUGCCACCACUUCGGAAAACAGCCCGGGAAUUGCACGUGGAAUUCGCACGGGGUUUUUGCAGAGAGGUUACUGACAAUUCCUAUCAGAGCAGGGGAAAAAGCCCCACAAUGUCAGAUUAAGGACAUCUAGGUUUUUGUAUAAUCUGCUAAACAUCUGUAGCUGAUCCAGAGAUAUGGCAAAGGUCAAAGUUUGGGUAUUUUUUUUUUCCUCCUGUGGGGAUUUCUUUGUAUAUUCUGAAGCCUAAAAAUUGCUAUUUGUUUUGAAAUGCAUUUUUGGUUGCAGUAAAAUACAGUUUAUUGUAAGUAGAAAAUUAUUACUAGGGGCAAAAAGAAAAAAAAAAAGCCGUGUCUUUUUGUAGCAUUUAAAUUUUAAUUAAAUGGGUCUUAGAGUAAAUUGUAAAACCUUCUUUUGUUGAGACAACUGACACUGACAAAAUAUUAAUUAAUGAAUAUUCAGAGAGCUCUCUGGAUCGCUCCUCUCUUUUUGAAAUAUGUUCUGCCUCUGUUUUUAAAAAAUCAGAAGAAAAUUAAUAAGCAUUGCUUAUGUGGAAUAUUUCCCAGUAUGAAGACCUGCCAAACAGAAUCUAAUGCAUUGCAUUAAUGUCAAUGAACACUUUUGAACCAGAUGUGUCUAUGAGUCUUUUUCAUUGUUUUCUCUAAAACUGAAGCUGGGAUGAAACCCAAAGAUUAAGACUUGACAUGAGGAGAAUAUCUUUCUGUGCUACUAUUAGGUCAUUUCCCUUUUGCUGUGUAAAUUAAAUUGUGGUCUUGAUUCAAUCUGGGACCAUUUUAUUGUUGUUGGUUUUAAUACAAUGCACAAAAAGUUCUUUUCUUUGGAAGUAUCAUUAUGAUAUAACUUAAAUGAGUCAUUGUAAUUGUUUGCUCAUUAGCAUCUGAAGGGAUUAUUUCGGUUAUUUUGUUUCUGGGAUCUUUUCUUUCCCCUCUCCUCCUGGGCAGCCCAGUUAGGGUGUGCCUUGCAAGCAGUUAAUUUGUGUAUAGUAAUAUUUAAGUGGGUUAUUGUAGUUUUUGUGUGUGUGUGCAUACACACAGCCCACUGGGGCAGCCCUUAAAACCUGUUUUAGGAACCCUGAGGUCUUUGUCCCCUCCCGGUCCUGUCCUUGUGCGGCCACUUCUGCACAUGGUCCUUACCCACAUUCUGAGCCAGACCCUUGGCUCCCAAGGGAUUCAGGGCACCAACAAGCUCCAACAAGGCCAAGACACACAGUUAAUUUUUUUGCUCCCCUCCCAUUCCCUGGGGACUGUGAGACCUGCCUGUGUCCUGGGCCCCAGCCCCCUGACACUUACUGCUGCUCAGAGGGGAAAAAGAAGGAGGGAAAAAACAACAACAACAAAAAAAACCAUAAAGAUGGGGGGAAAAAUAAAAGAAAAUGCAAAGGUGUAGGGGGGGAUGAAGGGAGUGUUUGCCUUGGCUCACUUGGCAAUUAAAAAUACAUAAGGGAGAGAAUUGCCAUGAACUUGCCCAAAGGGCUAUAAUAAAUAACAUCCUGCAUAACUGGUACAUAAAGUGUGCUCGAUGGUUUUGAGUGAAAUGACUGUGUUUGUUUUUAGGGAUGCUGGCUGGGGAUUUUUUUCAGAAUUAUAACAGUCGGAAUUCAAAUAGGCUUAUGUUUCUGUAAUUGUGGUAAACAUAUUUUAAAAAUCGCUGUUUGAUCAACUGUAAGUAUUACCAGUUCAGAGGUUAAAUGCUGUUGUUAAAGUCACUCAGGGAAAUCCAGCAGAAGUGUAAAUAUGGCAGAAAAAGCUAAACAAUAUGGCAAAGGAAUAUUUGCUGACUUAAGAGUGCAGGAUCAACACCAAUAUUUUUCCAGUGAUGCUAAACCUCUUGUAACUGCUAAAUUGGAUUUGUAGUUGAAUGAAGUAUCAGCUGCUGUUGGACAAGCCCAUAAAGGUCGGACGGCUGGCCUUUUGUAGGCAGGGCUUAGAGGACGAUUGAUAUGUUUUAGCACUUUUGGGAUUAUUGUGAUUAGGAGGAAGCCAUUCUGAAUGAUAGAGAAAAGGAUGUAAAAAACACAGCCCACAGCUGGUAAGCAGCAUGUGUUUGCUAUAAGGAGAGGUCAUGACUAGUUGAUCCUGCUGGUUCAGACACUGAUUGACAGUCAAGAAAACUUGAUAUUAUGAAGCAGACCCUUCUGUUUUCUCCUUUUUUUUUUUUUUUUUUUUUUUUUUUAAUCUCCUAAAGAAAUGAUGGUUCUGUUGUGUUAAGUCAAAGUAUUACAAAAUCUGGAACACUCUCACUUGUUGCAAGCUAAAUGUUCAGGGACACAGCUGCAAGUUUGAAGUUGUUAAAAUAUCGUGCAGGAAUUAGUAUUCAACCUGUAUCGGUGAGAACAGUAAAUGGAAGUUACAGAAUUAGCCCUGGUGUUUCUGUGCUUGCCUUUUUCACAUGUGUUAGUCUUAACAAAACUGCUCUUUGCCAUCUACUAGAACAUUUAUGCUAAGUAUGAGGAAAUUUCAAGUCUGCUGAACCUGUUGACUAUUAUGUGCCUGGAAUAUCCAAGAUUUUUAGCCAGGAAUAAUAUGUGUAAAAAUAUUUUACCAGGCAGAAAACAGCUUUAUCAUUUUAUUUCUAUUAACCACCUGCCUCAGAGGACGUGUAGGUUAUUUCCUCUUAUCUCCACUAUCCACUUGGAAAUGUAGAGCUGCUUUUUCCUCCUCUUUUUUUUUUCCUUUUUUGUUUUCCUUUUUGUUUUUUUUUCUGUGAGCAGCCAUCCGAAAGCUCGCAUAUGCACAUUUAAAUAGUUGUAUCCCUGACUCUUUUUAGUGGGGCUGUACCUCUUUCAAAAUUUGAGUUUAGCAUACCACACAGGAAAGAACACAAGCUUGCCAACUCCCGCUGAGCGUUUUUUCAAGCCUGUGAAAAGAAUGAAUUAUUCAGCAGUAAGCAUGCUUACAGCUGGCCAUUUGGGAGCUUUGAUGUGCGAAUCAGGCGGUUGCAUGAAUGCCCUUAUUGUCAUGUUAUGUGUACACAGUGUGUGAAUUAUUGAAAAUAGUGAGGCCUGAGCCUCAUCUGGUAGAGAUUACAGUGCAGGCAUGCUGGGUGAAGGUCUGUAAUUGAAAAUCCCCAGAUGCUGUUUAUUUGGCCUCCGUCACGUGGCCCUUCUGCAGAAAGCCUGGCUGAACAAAAUGCUGCCCGCCUGGGAAGCGGCGCCCAGCCCCCUCCCAGCCCAGCCCAGCCCAGUGUGCCCGCCACUUAAACACCUGCCCAUAAUAUUUUUAAAAGCUUAAAUUAGAUUUGCCUAUAACGUUUAAAUAGAGGAUGCCUUACUUAGAGGUUUAGACUGCUUAGCCAGUUGUUGACUCGCAGAGCUCUUUUAUCUACAAGAGGCUUUUUGUUGGCCAGUUUAGCUGCGAGGCGCCUUCGGAAAGCGGCGCUGCCGAAUUUGGGGCCAGGUCUCCCAAAGCCGGAUAUUCCGACGGCAAAACAGAGCGGAAAAGUGCUGGGGCUGGGCACCAUGAAGAGCAGCUUUUCCCCCACGGGCCGUGGGCUCUGCCGCCCCAGGGCCCCGUGCCCACUUGCUGAUGGGGAAAGGGUUCAGAGCAGCGCAUCCCUGCUGACGGUGGCCUUGGCUGGGCUGGGAUCUGCCUCCAGCUCGUGCUCGGGGGCCAGACAAAGAGCUGGGCGCUGCUUGCAGGCUCUGUCCCAGGAGAGCACUCACAGCUGCUUCCUCAUGGAGCAAAAGUCCCACCAGCUCCCCGGAUUUGGCCCCCAGGCACAUGGGCAGCACUGUGCGUUCAGCAGGCCAAGCAGAAGUGGAGUUGACCAAAACUGGCCGGACAAACCUUUGUUAUGGUGUAAACGUGGCUGUGAGAAUGAUUUGGGAGGUGAAGUUGUGCAGGUCUGUCCCCCAGACUUCUCAGUCAGGAUGGGAAAUACCUGUUCUGAGCCACAGUCUUGUCAAAUUUGAAGAGAUUCAUACUGUUUCAUUAUCUGAAAAAAAAAUAGGCUUUUCUACUUGGUCGUAACUUGAAUUAUGUGGCUGAGCAUGAAAACUUUUUAAAAUUAGCUGUUCGUUUUCAAGUUGCUAGCUGGCUUUAUUUCCCACACUUGCCUAUUUUUAUCCCAUUUGGAUCGUGCCUAUUACUGGGAGCUGGGAGGGCAGAGGUUUAAUUUGUGCCAUUAAUGUUCUAAAUAAAGAUGCCCGCCGGCCUCACGGCUGCUCAGAGACGUGAUGCACCAGCUCCCUGCCCUGUUGCCUGGGUUUGAGCACUGAUGCCCGUGGCCAGGACACAGGAAAGGGACACAGUGUGGCCAGGAGCAUGUCCACAGCUGGUGCAGGUGCUGGUAGAGCUGCCUGGGAUGCUGUGGUGGCUCCGCUGCCGUGGUGCUGGUGCUGUUUCUGGCCCAUGAGGGGGAUGCAGUUACGCCUUCCCAGUCAGGAGUGGAUUUUCACCUUUAGGGCCUUGCUGGUGCUGGCUGAGUGGGGACAAACACACCAUUGGCAUCACGGGCGAGGCCAAGAGCCUCGCACAGACCCUGUGGGGGCUGAUGCCUGGCUGCUUUGGGCUGUUCUUGGGAACAGCCUUGGUGGGGAGGAUCCCUGCACAAGGGCCCUCUGUUAGAGCAACAACUGCCUGCCCCGGGCAGAGGCGCUGGGAGCUGCCCCACUUUGCAGCUGCUCCUGCUUGUUGGGAGCAGGAGGAGCAGAAGUGUCAGCUCUCUGCUGCCUGGGAGGCAUCCGGGAUCACCACACACUCCCCUGCUGAGGGUGGUGGUGCUCAGGGAUGGGGCAGUGGGUUGGGAAGGUGGAGGGAGCCUGUGUGCCGAGGCUUGGCUGGAGCAGGGCCGCCCUGGGGACUCGGCUGUGCCCUUGGAGGGGCCACAGUAGAGCUUUGAGAGCUUUGGCUGUCCACAGAGCCUCACAGGUUUUUAGCAUCUGCACUGGUUUUUUAGCUGAACUUGCUUUUUACUCCAUGCCACAAUUAAAAGAGAUGUUCCUUUGCACAAAAUGCCCUCUUCCUCAGCAUCAGUCCAGGGAGAAUUAUGGUUUGCAAUUGCACUGACGACACAGAAGGACAUGACAGAUAAAGCCUGAAUUAACGGGGAAAAAGGCAAACUCUAAGAAGCAGCCUAUGUAAAAUAUUUGUUGUGGCCCUUUCCUGAUCUUUUCAAGAUCCUUGGAAAAGAUUCCUGUGCUGUGAAGAUGUUUUAUCUAUCCAGGCACCUCCCCAUGCCUCUCUUUGAUACCUGAACCGAAACAUUCAAAGUAGGAGACUGUCACAGCAUAUGACAGGAAAAAAGAGCUGAAAAUUUACAGUUCAUAAAUCUGACCUCUUCUCUUCUGCCAGGCAAUUUCCCAGAUCUGUAUGACAAGGAGACAGAGGGAGGGUGUGUAUGGAAAGUAUUUCCACAGCUGAGCUCUUCUAGAGAAAACAGAUCUAUUUAUUAAUGAGCAUUUUUCACCCUAAGUUUCUAAAGGCCAGUUAAAGAAGUUCCAUGAGCCUCCUUUUGUUUCAGACUCUUCUCAUUCCCAAGAACAGGAAAGGGUGUUUUUAAGAUUAUUAAGCUUCCCUUUCUUUAAAAUGUUCUUUGGACUUCAGCUGGUCUGAAGAUAAGAUCAUUUCUGUCCCUAUCUGUCAGAGUUGGUAAAGAAGAGCACCAGUGUUUGGUAGAUAACAUUAAGGCUGUAAACUUUUAGUUGGGGGCAUCUAUCUUGUUUAUAUCAGGCAGUGCUUCUGUUUGUGUUUAUGGCUUUUGGUAGCCCAAGAAGGAAUUUAUGUCUUUUCAGAUUGCUGUGGCCAGGGAGAAGGUAUUUAGUGAGCCUUCAGUAUCUCCUGCUCUGGCUAAACCUGAUGCAUGUGUCUUUGCUGAGUUGAAAACAUGAUGGUAAGGAAAACAUGUCUUAGGGUUUUACCUCUGCCACUUUUUAUGGCUCCUUGUGGAGUUCCUCCUCCCUGCAAGUUAAGGCAAAUUAUUCCACCCUGUUAACUCUUCUGGAGUUAGGCUCCAGGUUGCCUUCAGCUUAAGGGAAGCAGUCACUUGCCACAGCUGCAGUCUUGUUAGUCACAGCCCUGGCCAGCUAGAUAAUGGCUACAGAAACCCCCCAUGAGCGAAGACAGAGUGUUUCAUGGGUGCACUGGGGCUCAACCAGAGACAGCACUCUAAGGAGAGUCUAGACUUUCAGUGCUUGCUGUUUUUAGUAAAGAUGCUUUUCCUGUCAAAUGGCUGCCUGGGAACCUGAGCUUUCCUUUAAAAGUAGCUUUUUUGCUCUCUUGUCUGGGAGGAGAGCUGUGAGACCUCAGCUGUGGCCCGGGAUUGCACAGGGAUGCCUUAAUGGGCAAGGGGUGGCUGGAGUGACCUGUGCUGUGCCCAGGUAUCUGAAACAUCUGCAGCACAGGCAGAGGGACAAGAGAUGGCAUUGCAUCCUUUACAUCACCUUACAGCAUCACUGAGCUGGCACAGUCACCAGCUGCUGAUCAGAGCAACCUGACAGUAUUGUUGCAGCAAAAAAAAAA
Motacilla alba alba is the source of this 54614-nucleotide long non-coding RNA. RefSeq lists it as uncharacterized. The record is from RefSeq and is a predicted model, not a curated record. The transcript is spliced from 2 exons. NCBI's taxonomy places the organism in Eukaryota, Metazoa, Chordata, Aves, Passeriformes, Motacillidae.